UACCCUGUGGUUUAAAACGUAUCAAUUUGCCCCCCUGUGGUUUCGUUUUUAUCUUUUUGUUAUCAAUUUUAUUAUUAUUAUUUUUUAAAAUCAGUGAUAAAGUUAAAAUUAAAGGAUACUAAAGUGACUAUUCGAUAAAUAUAGAUGGUUAUCUGAAGUUUUUGUAUAUAAUUUAACGAAAUAUUAACGAAAAAGCUUCUGAAAAGAUAAAAAUGAAACUACAGGGGGGUAAAUUGAUACGUUUUAAACCACAGGGUAGCAAAGUGAGAAUGCACGAAACCACAGGGGGGGGGUUUAUGAAGUUUUCCCUAAAUUAAAUUGUUUUUCUCUCAAAAUUUAUACUAUUAGCAUAAAUAUUCAUAUUUUUAAGAAUAUAAGAAUAAAGAGCUACAAAACUAAGCUAAUUUAGUAAAAAAAUAACAAACUAUAUUAUGCCUCAAAAUAAAUAAAGGGAAAACUUCAAAUAGCCCCCGUGGUUUUGCACUUCCUAACUUUAGUACCAUGUUAUUUAAAGUGUAUCAAGUUAGUACCCUUGUGGUUUCGCACUUUCUCACUUUAGCACCUUGUAGUUUAAAGUGUAUCAAGUUAGUACCAUGUGGUUUCGCACUUUCUCACUUUAGUACCAUGUGGUUUAAUAUUUUGUUAAAUUAUAUACAAAAAAACUUUAGAUACCCUAUCUAGGUUUAUCGAAUAUUUAUUUUAGUACCCUUUAAUUUUAACUUUAUCACCAAUUUAACGAAAAAAACACCCUGAAAUAGAUAAUAAAAAGAGAAAAUUAAAACCACAGGGUACUAACUUGAUACAAAAAUGAAACCAUAGAGUACUAACUUGAUACACUUUAAACCAUAGGAUACUAAAGUGAGAAAGUGUGAAACCAUAUGGUACUAAUUUAAUACACUUCAAACUAUAGGGUACUAAAGUAAAAAAAAUAUGAAACCAGAUAUUUUUGAAGUUUUUCAAUAGAUAAAUAAUUAAGCAAAUAAAAGAUUAAGAUAGUUCAUAAACGAUUAAACUUUUUUGAUCCAAUAAAUUUUUUUUUUGGGAGGGGGUGGGGCGAACUCGCGCUUGCGAGGCCCGCGACCGCGAUCGCGCGUCUUUUUGGCCGAAUAAUUCGGCAAGCGAAUUAUUCACGAAUAAAUAUUAUUUACUAAAAAAACAUGUUUUUUUUCAAAAUUUUCAAAAAAAUUUGAAUAAGACCGUUUAAUUCGUUUCUUUAAAAAUUCGCGAAUAAUUCACGAAUUAACUAACAAUGAUCUGCAGUAGUGCCUACUUUAUAUUGUUGAAUUUAAUGGUGAUAGAUGACUUAGUUGAGAGCAUAAGAAUCAUCUAUGCAUUCCCGUUUUCGGAGAUUACCUCAAACAAUCACAUGCUUUUGCUUUAAAAGUCCUGGUACAACGAUACUGAUUAUAAACCAUGUAAAGUUACUGAUCAGCCACAGAUCACACCAAAAUUAGAUUAUAAAAGGAUACUGUCCAAAAACAAAACAAAAUUACAAGUACAAAAACCUCGGCUAGUAAUAACAGCAGUAACAAAAAUAGAUAGAAGGAAUAAGUGAAAAAGAAGGGGGAAAAAAAAAGGAGGAACUCAAUAAUAGGUUCCAAAAACCCUAAGAUCAUGAAUAUAAAUAUAAUAAUAUAAUGAGCUCUCGCCUGUUAAUACUCGAAAAGCAUUAUCAUUAGCUUCUAUGCAGACUCGAAAUGAUUUAAAGAAAAAACUCAAGAUAACUCUUAUGUUAAAAUUGCGAGGUUUCCGCUUCCGCAGAGUCAGUCUCCAGACAUGUAAGUCUUGCCCUCGUAGUACUUCCUCUCGCUCGCUUCCUUCUUCUCGUUCCGUUUCUGAAAACAGAAACACAUGCGAAACAAUGAAUAUCUGAUUAAAUUUAGGUUUUGAAGAAAUACGUGUCCUAUUAUUGAAGCUGCUGCGUACGACGGUAAUAAAUUACACCUUAACAGAGGUUACCCAAGUAACAUUGAAUUUGACCGGCGACAACUGGUAUAAGUAAACAUUUGUAGUAAUCAUUUAUUUUUGUAGUAGUAUUAAGAUCAUAUGCUAGAAAGUGAUUGUCAUCAACCGUAGAAUGCUGAAUGAUAAUGAAAGAUUAAUAUCGAGGAUGAUGGCGUGAUAAUAGUGUAGAUCUUUUGAUACUCUAAUGCAAGUGGAAAAUAAUGUUGAAACAAGACGAUAAUAUGGAAAAUUUUGAGGCUUGUAGAUUACUAGUGGUAUAGGAAUCUUAUUAGGAUAUACCUGAUAUGCCUCGUGAUUUGCAACAAUCCUCCUAAUUAUUGUACUAGUUGUGAUGUCUAAAGAGCUUUCUAGUUGCCGAUAGAUACCCAUAGCAAUUGGAACUGCAUAUGGAUUUGAUUCCUCCUGAAAAGUGAUCCGUAUGCUAUUCAGAUUUAUGACAAUAUGAAGAGGACUGCAACCUCAAAAUUUAUGACAAUUACCUUGAGAAAGUCCAUAUUUUCUGCAAUUGUUCCGUGAACAACCAAAGAGAUGUUAAACGUAGUAAUCUGUAAAAAACCACAUUCAUGAGUCAGAAUAUUCAGAAUAUCAAUACUCUGGUUGCAGCAAUAAAAUAGAAAACGAGCAAAUUCAUGCAAAAUCCAAAUUGAAUUGAAAUGAAGCAUACCAUUUAACAGCAAGUAAGAGAUCAGGUCUAACAAAAAUUAAUCAACAAAAUGUACAACCCAGAAUUGUCAAAAAGAACUAACCAUAUCUUUAGAGACCUCCCAUGGGGCACCAAUAAUAACUUCAUCUACAUAACGGCAAGCCAACACACUCAAGCUUCUCUCAUGAAGAUUCAUGAUUGGGCGGUGGGCUCCUCGAGUAGCACUGUACAUGGCAAAGCAAUAUUUAUUAUGUGUGUACUGCAAAAAAUUUUAAAUUAGAAAGAGAAGAACAAUGAGACACCCAGAGAAGCGGUCUAGGCAGAAAGCAACAGAAAACAAUAAAGAGGAAUUUCAUUGAGCACUAUUAAGGAUAUUAUAGCAAAUAAAAUUGUACAUUAUGAUGAUUCCGGAAGGGGCAGUCACUCCAUCUGCUAUGAUAUCUCACAUGAUUGUCAUCUGUAACUUAUGUAGCUGACAGUGCAAGAGCAUAAAAGGCAGAACCAAAGCAUGCGACACAUUUUGGACGAGUAGAAAUAACAAUAUAUUACCUCACAGUCUGAUCAGUAUGAAUGCCCACAAGUAAAAAAUCUCCCAGUUCUCGAGCCUUCCGCAAUAUCUGUAACACAAUAUCAAUAAGUUACAACAGAGAAGCAACAAUAUUCUGCACAAAAAGGUCGGACAUUUUAAUUCGUAAAAUAGCUUUGUGAAGCAUCACAAAUAAGCGAUAGCUCAAAGCCUAACGCAUUUGGCUGUUUCCUCAUGAUUGUCUAUUUUUUUAUGAAGUAUAAAGCAAUAUGAUUAGUCACUUUCAUAUAAAAAAGAUAACGCCUAAAUGGAUCUCAGUUGGAUGAGCAGCUUACAAGAGUAAAGAGGGUUACAGAUAAAUCCCAUUGAUAUGAGCAAUAAACAAUAUGAAUGGCAUAAAUGAAUAGAAAGUCCCUCUAAAACUCUUAUGAGCUUUUCAACAGAGUGUAUAAUAAGUAUAUUCAAAGCAGUUGAUGGUAGGAUACAUAAUGAGACACUUGUUCAACUGUCUGACUAGUGGCAAGAAAUAAACAGGUACACUUAUGAACAAGCCAUCUUCAAUAUGAAAUUGACACCACCUUGUGCGUGCGCACGCCCACGCGCGGGUGAGAGAGAGAGAGAGAGAGAUAGAGAGAGAGAGAGAGAGAGAGACCUCCACAUGUCCAGCAUGGAACAGAUCAAAUGCACCAUCUAUGUAAAUAAUGCGAGCAUCUGGACCAGGACCCUGGAUGAACAAAAAGAAGUUUCAACAUACAUUUCCCUUAGAGCAUUCUUGUGAUAGUCACAGAACAAAAAGAAGUUUCAACAUGGAAAAAUACAAAGUUUCAAAACACACAGACCAGAGCAUAUGACCGGCAUGGAACUAUAAGAAGUAUUAACAUACCUUCCCAUUAGAGAACUGCACUAUUCGUCGAGACGUAGGCAGAAAAUGGGAUAUACGAGUUCCACUUGCAGAUCCACCAUCAUCAACCUUCUGACCAUGACCGUGGCUAAACUGCCUUUGCAAAGAAGAAUGAUUAUGACUAUCACCAGUAGAUCUCUCCCUUACACAAAGAAGCAUGCGACCUAUUGAGCAACAAAGUAUAUUUAUCUAAGCAUUCUCGAAUUAGAGGAAGAAACAGAGAAGAAUCUUGAAAAGUCGAAAAGCUGAAUUCUUGAUGCCAAAAGCGGUAGUCACAGCCCACAGUACAGUCCCAUACGGUAAUUUUUAAAGCGAUUAGAAUGUCAGAAAUGCAUGCGAUAAAUUAAAAGCAUCUGCAUGCCCUGAACAAGUCGAAGUUUUAUAUUUAAGAAGGAAAAAUACUACCUAAAGUAAUCUACACACAGAGGCACAAGAUAUUAUUCAAAAAGCAACUAGAAUGUUAACCUGCAUGUUAAUGCUUCUGGAAAAGGUGCAAACCCAGAAAAAAUUUAAAAUCACAAAAACAUGUCAUUGUAAAUCCAGUAUAUUAGCCAAGCAAAAUUUUAAACCUAGAUUAAGCAGGCAGACUAACACCAAACUUUCUUGAUUAUCCAUCCCAAAUACAAGAUAUGUUGUACUCCAUUUAAUCAGGUCAAAUUUCGCAGGAACACAAACUUCCAAAAAUAGAUGGAUAAAAUCAGGGAAAAGAAGAAUAGAAUCAGUACCAACUAUGUCUGUGCUUGACACUCCUUCAGUUCUUUUAAUCUGCUUAUAACGGCCAGCCUUCUUGGCAAGGGCAUAUGCAUCAGUACCAUCAGGGAGUAGACAAGGAUCAUCCCCAUGAAUAAUAUAAUCAAUAUUAUACUUAUUGAACAGCUUAUUCAUAAACUCCUCAGUUAUGGCAUAAGGAGCAUCUGGAAUGACUUCAUCCACCCAUUUUACAGCCGCUACCAUGAUCAUUCUGUGAGCAAAUAAUUGGGAAAUCAGUUGGAACAAUUAUAUAUGGAGGGGAAAGGGUCAUAUGCGGUUUCAGUUUAAUAGUUGAUGUACAGAAGAACGCCAUGCACGUGGACAAAUUCAUGAAGAUGCCUCAUUUUUCAAUUCAUGUUUUCACUCCCCCUUCCAGAGGAAGAGCCCAAAAAUUAAGAAAGAAAGAGGGUGCCAAGAUUACACAAUAUCAUCCAAUGCUUGGGGAUUGGUAUUCUGAACAGUACUAUAAGAAUCAGUACUGAACAUCCCUCUUGCAAAAGUACAGGGUCCCGUAUGCAAUUACGUAUUUUGGUUGAGGCAAAACCUACAAUAUCCAGAAGAACUAAAAAUCGAAAAUUGAGCUACAAAAACAAUAUUAGUCAAUAUUAGAUCCCACUGAUUCUUAAUUGCAAAGAAUUACAAAUACACAUUGAGCUCCAAAACUAAGAUCUAGUAUAAUAAGGAACUUUAAGACAAAAAUACAUGUUCAAAGAGAACUAUCAGUGCAACUUGCUCCCGCAUAAGACAACUUUAGAGUUUUAGAGCUUGGUAGUGGGCGAGAAACAUGAUCUGCAAAGAAAUUUACCGGUCAUAUCUAGCGUAACAAGAUUAAACAAAAUAAAUGCUAUAUUUAAAUUGAAUAUAUAGUAUAAAUUUGGGGGAAACAAGGAAACUUUUUUUUAAGUUAGUGGAAAGGGAAACAUAUACUCAUGGAUCUAUUCAUGCUACUUACUAUCCAGAAACACAAAGAUACAAUAAGAUUCAAGAGCUACCUUUCAUGGCAUGCAAAGUAUUCCAAAAUUAUCACAACAACGUAAAAAUUGGAAUAGAAAUAUUGCUAAAAAAAUAGAAAUAGAAAAAAUAAAGGAGCAGAGAGGGAUCAAUAAAACAAGCAAUAAAAUGAAAACACAUCCUAGAUCUAAUCAUUAUAGAAACGAAGAUCAACAGGAAUUCCCAAUCAAAGUAUUCGAUACGGGGAUCGACCUUUCGUGGAGCGGGGUCACGGGGGGGCCCUUGUUGGCCGUGAUCUCGUCGUCGCUGACGACCCCGACGACGAGCUCGUCCCCGAGCGCCCGCGCCUGGCGCAGCGCGUUGCAGUGCCCGUAGUGCAUCAUGUCGAAGCACCCGUCCAUGUACACUCGCACGGGGCGCCGCCGCCGCCGCCGCCGGCCCCCCCAGAGCGGCGGCGGCAGCUGCAGCGAGGGCGGGAGCGAGAUCCCGACCUGCACGGCGAGGAGCGACGCCCCGAGCACGAGCCCGCCGAGGAAGAACGCGGCCACGAACUUAGACGGCGUCGCGAGGUCCUUCACGGCUCCGCCUCCGCCGCCGCCGCCGCUUCCGCCGCCCUCGGAAUCCAUGGCGCAGAGGAGGAGGAGGAGGAUUCGGAUCUAGGGUUUCGGAAAACCUAGGGCUCGCGAGCUCCCGCCAUUUGGAGGCUUCGAGGAGAGCACGAGAGUGGAAAAGAGAGAGAGAGAGAGAGAGAGAGAGAGAGAGAACGAAGGGUAUGGAACGGGGAAUGAGAAGGGGGUAAUUGGAUUAAUAUAGACCGUACGAUGGAGUGAGAUCACAGGUGGAUUCGUUGGGGACUAAUAAAUUAGUGUAUUAUGAGCCGUUCAUCAAAUAAAGAAUUUUUAAAAAUGCGAUUUUUUCUAUCUGGGGUAAAUUUUAAUUUGCGUAUUCAUAUGGACUUUCCCGAGAAUUUUUAAAAUAUUUGUAUUUCCAUUACUUUAAAUAUUGUUUUUGUUACUUGAAAUUUUUUAUUUCCUGUAAUUGCUUUUUGGUAUUAUUUACCUAUCACACUCGCAUAAAUACAAAAUUAUUAUAUAUAUAUUAUAUGUUUAUUUUUAAAAAAAGUUAAUGAAAAAAUAAAUUUAAAAUUGUACUUUCUACAUGAAUUUGUGAAUUACUAAUCAGUAACAAGAACUAAGAAUUCUUAUUUAUUGGUGCAUGUAAUUGUACAAAAAAUUUGAGUCUAAAAUAAUGGAAUACAAAUAAAAAUGAAAAAAAAAAUGUAAAACCAAAGGAAAGCUUUGCUUUUCAAAUUCAAAUGUUCAACGGAGAUAGAUAUAUAUUAAUUCAAAUUAUAUAUAUUGACACUCACAUGUACAAAACUAACUUAUAUAAAUAUAAUUUUGACUAUUAUUAAUGUACACAUAAAUAUAAAAAAGAAAAUCACAAUUGCAUGCGUGGGAUAUGCUAAUGCGAUGCUUGGCACCAGAUGCUGUAAAAAGCGUGUGAAUUAAAAGUACGGAUUAUGAUGCUUCUUGCAGUGUGGCCGCAUCAAUGCAAUAAAGAUUUUUCUUUAGAAAAAAAAAAAAGAAUAAAAUUUACUCGCAUAAGAUGCGACACACUUUCUGUGAGACCCCAGAUAGUCAUAUAUAUGAGAUAUAAUAUGGCUAAACUCUUAACCCGGCUUAAGCAUUUUGGGUUGUGGCAAGGCCCAAGAGGUUAAGAGAGUUAAGCGUGUUGGGACGGGAGUAAUCCUAGGAUGGGUGACCCCCUGGGAAGUCGGGGCGUCAUAGAUGGUAUCAGAGCCAAUUACCAGCCGGAAGUGUGAGAUGACUCUCGGCUGAGCCAGGGUCUGGAUGACGGGCUAGCGAGAUGAGUCUCACAUCGCCUGGUACUUGUGAGUCUGAGCCUGACGAGGACGUCAGGGCUUAAAGGAGGGGAGAUUGUGAGACCCCAGAUAGUCAUAUAUAUGAGAUAUAAUAUGGCUAAACUCUUAACCCGGUUUAAGCAUUUUGGGUGGUGGCAAGGCCCAAGAGGUUAAGAGAGUUAAGCGUGUUGGAACGGGAGUAGUUCUAGGAUGGGUGACCCCCUGAGAAGUCGGGGCGUCAUACUUUCUCUUUAGAAACAAAGGAAUGAAAUUUAUGAUAAAUAGUGUUCAGAUUAUACCGAAUCGUAUAUGAUGCAAUAAAGAUAUUUCCUUAGAAAAAAUAAAAUAAAAUUUACCUGCAUCAGAUGCGACAAACUUUUUCUUGUAGUGUUCACAUUGUAUUGAAUCGUUUUCCACUAAAUAGGUUUUGAUAGCAUAGUAUCAGAGCCAUCCUUAAGCUUCUUUCCAAGAGAAUAUUGUAAGUUUGAUUCUCUCAUAUUCAUCAUUUUGUAACAUAUAUUCCCUUCUAUUAUCACCUCUUUGUUCCUUACUUGUCAAUUAUCACUGAGGGCAUACAUAGUUCUCGAUCUGAUCAAAUUUGUUUCUUUUUAUUUCACAUAUAUUUCUGUCUCUAUUCAAAAAGGCUUGUUCACUCAGAUCGAUUUUUUGGGUAGUCGAAAAAUAUAUAUUUCUCUCAAUCCUCAUUGAGGGUUUUAGAUCUUUGAUCAAAUUUUCUCCGGUGCGUAUCAUUCUCACUAAAGGCAAUACUACCGGAAUAAGUUGUCAGAUAUUACUCACAUGCUACGAAAGUUCUGACUGCUAUGUGAUUUGAUAAUAUAGUAUAUUUUAUUUACGAAUUUUUUUGAAAAAAAUUAUAUAUAAUGGACGGCUAUAGUAUACUUUUUAGGCUGUGUUUGGUUCAGGUAUAAGUAAAAACUGUUUAUUCCAAAAGCAGAUAUAAGUUCAGAUAUAAAUGAUUUAAUACUAUAAUUAAAAUUAAAUUUAGACUUUAAUUAAACUUAUUUCCACUUAGGAAGGAACAAGCUUGUUUUAGAAAAAUGGCUGGAACAGCACCAGUUUAUUUCAGAGACCUAAAAUUUACUGCUCUCGAAUAUCAAAUACAACGCUAUCAAAGAAAAUUAUCUUAACAACAUUAAUUAAUUCAACGUAAAAGGGGAAGUGAUUAAUAGCAAUGCUUCAGUUUUUCUAAUUCUAGUUGAUAAUGCUGAAGCCUACGUACCACAGCUUCUAAUACUUUCUAAUAAUUAUAAAUAUUCUUUCUUCUAUCUUCCAUUCCAGCCAACAUUGAAAGCUGCCGGCGGCCCUUUAUGCGUUCCGGCCACCACUGACAGCCUUUGGUUAGCAUUAUUCAAGUACUGCUGCACUUGCUCUCCGGAGCUCAUGUCUGGCCCCCCGCCGACGACUCCCCCCUCUCCGCCGCCCGCCCCCGCCACCGGAUCCCUCAUGUACUGCUGCACCACCAACACCGACACCAUCAUCGCGAAGUCCGACGACGCCAACAAGUCCCCGAUCGGCCCCAGCUCCGGGCACUCGGUCCACUCCGUCAGCCCCGCCGUCAUCGCCCCCCCGGCCUCCCCCUGCCCCCUCCCCACUAUGUACAAGUCGUGGAUGCUCUCCAUGUUCCGGAUGGCCGUCACCGUCUCCUCGCUGUUCCCCACCACCUUCUCGACGUACGUCACGGAGUCGUUGCCCACGUUCUUCACCCUGAACUCGUUGACGUACUCGUCGUCGAGCUGGCGCUCGUGGCUGCCGUCGGUGACGAUGGUGAUCACGCGCGAGUCGCGGGCGGCGGCCUGCUCGUCGGGCGGGAGGAAGCGCACCACCGUGAGGGACACCACCGGGUUCUCGACCAUCCGCCAUGCGAAGGCCAGCGCCUCGCGGUCGUCGGGACCGCCGAAGAAGAGCAAUGCCACGUGGUGCGUGGCGGUGAGGCGCGACGCGGAGGCGCUGAGGCCGCGAUCGACGAGGACGCCGACCGAGCAAGGCGAUGACGAGAGGAUGUUCUCGUUGAGGGUGCGGAUGGCCGGGUUGAUCGCCUCCAUGCCGCCGUCGACAGUCUGCUGUUUGUGGAACGGGAGGACGAUGAGCGUCACGUGUUUGUCCUCGGCGAGAAGGCAGACAUCCUCGUGCAUCGUCGAGUAGGGAGAGACUGUGGUGAGCGUCUGUAUGGAGACGCCGCCGGCGUGCUGCUCGUAGCUCUCGAAGGCGGCGAAGAUGUGGUCGUUCUGGGCGUGCGAGCCUGCAGCAGAAGAUUUGGAGGAGGGGCGACGGUGAUGCUUGACGGCGGUAUUGUGGACGACGAGCAUGUUCGAGGCUCGGCCCGUGAGCUCGACGAGGUGGAGGGCGUAGACGAAGAUCGGGGAGCGCUUGGUCGGGUUGGAGAGGUCGAGGAGCGAGAUGAUGGAGGGGACGUUGCGGGUGGUGUGGACGCAGACGAGCAUGCGGAGCUCGGCGUCGGGCUUGGAGCGCUGCAGGUUUCGACGCUUGUAGCCCAGGAGGCGGCGGACCGGGUGGUGCACGGCGGUCACCACCGGCGUCACCAGCGCCGUCAUCAACGUCGAAACGAUAACCAGCACCGCAAACGACUCAUCGUCCAGCACCUGGAGGAGAGAGUUUUAUCAUUACAAUAAAAGUCGAACACAGAACACUCUGCUCUGAUACCAAAUUUUUAUAUUCAACAGUUAUGGAGUGUUUGAUAGAUAAUACCUCUUUAUCCCUUCCAAUGUUGAGUAUGAUCAUCUCGACGAGGCCUCUAGUGUUCAUCAAGAAUCCAAGCGCAAGCCCCUCGCGGAAGGGCAUUGUGUAGAACGCGGCGAUCAAAAUGGUGCCCAUGAUCUUUCCGACGCUCGCGAGAACGAAGACGAGGAUGAGAAGCCCGACGGUGAUGGAGUCUUGGAUCUUUCCGACAUCCGUCCGGAGCCCGCUGAUGGCGAAAAAGAGCGGCAGCAGAAGCCCGGUCACAAAAUCUUCCAACUUCUCAAUCAGCGCAACCCCUAAGGGGCCGUUCGGUAUCACGAGGCCGUAAACAAACGCUCCGAAGAUGGCGUGGAUGCCUAUGGCGUCGGUGGCGAUCCCGGAGAGCAUGACUCCGGUGAGGAUGAGGCAGACAUGGAAGUCGCUGACCCCUUCGCCUUCGGGGAUGCGGCGCGUGAGCCACCACAUGGCGGGGCGGACGGCGUAGAAGCAGAGGAGGACAAAGACCACGCCGGCGAGGAGGACCCAGAGGGAGGAGAGCACGCUGGCGUGCGUCUCGGAGACGGCGAUCGAGAGGGCGAGGAGGAUCCACGCGCACAUGUCGUUGACGAUGGCGGACGACAUGGCUAGGCGGCCCAGCUCGGAGUUGAGCAGCUUGAUCUCGGCGAGGAUGCGCGCGAGCACGGGGAAGGCGGUGACGGAGAGCGCGACGCCGAGGAAGAGCAGGAAUGAGGCCUGGUGCACGUUCUUCGCGAUGUGGUGGCGGAAGACGAAGGAGGUGGCGGUGCCGAUGCAGAACGGCAGUGCCAUCCCCGCCGCCGCGAUCACCAAUGCUUUCUUCCCCGACCGCCGAAUUAUCACCACGUCCAUCUCCACGCCGACCAAGAACAAGAAGUACAGCAAGCCGAGGUGCGCCACCGUCUCGAGCGUCAGAAGGCUUCUCUGGGGGAACACAUUCUCGCCCCAUUUUUGCGCCCUACCCAUCACCGACGGCCCCAAGAUUAUGCCAGACUGUACCAAAAGAAAAGGUUACAAAACAUGCAUAAUGACAUGCUCAUAGUAGAGAAAUAGUAUUUACUAUCUACUUUCUAAUUCUUAGAUCUAUAGCAGUAUCGUCACCGGACUGUAAACUCUAUGCGUUCAAGAAAUGAAAAGUAGAUAGCAGAAAGGGAGCGAAUUACGUACAACGAUCUCGGCGAUGACGCGGGGCUGGCGGAAAGGCUUGAGAAAGAGCACGAGGAGGCGGGUGGUGAGGACGAUGACGACCGUCUGCAGGAUGAAGAGCGGGAGCGCAAAUUCUAACGGAUUGACGCCCUGCCAUAUCCCGCUGGUGGUGAUCAUCGUCGGGGAGUAGCAGAUGACCAUGUUGUUCCCGGCACGGGUAACAUUCUUGAACGGAGUCAUAGUGAUGUUUCUGGAUUUCGUUGCCAUCUUCGCUCAUGGCAAUCUCCUUAGCUACUACGCUUGGUUAGAUAAAAUAUAAAAAAAAAUGUCUCCAAAAUCAAAUAGCCCUAAAGCAUUAAUUGAAGAACAUUACUUAUCAUUCUUAAGGGGACAAAAUUAGAAAUUUGAGGAGUUAAAUAGCAAAAUUUUAACUUUUUAGUAUAUGUUACAUAGAAUAGGAAAAGGAAAUGGUCAAUGAGUGUUCAUUGAUUGGUUUGACUUGUACUAGUGGUCAAUGAAGUUUUUAAAUGUUUUGAUUGGUUGUCCUAGAAUUUUGGAUUUAUGUGGUGUGGGGGGAGGAUAGAGAAACGUGGAAAGAAUUGAUGGAGAUUGUUGUUUGAUGGACCCGGUCCAUGUUCUCAGCCAAUCAGAAGUAUUAAUUUGAUUGAGUGGCCUUCAUGCUCCCCUUGUAGACUUGGUCUUGUGAUAAAUCCUUAUUUCACUCCAACCUCUUUUUCUAUUUUCCUUUUAAUUUUAAUUGGGAAAAGAUAAGUUGCCAACAUGAACUGCAACACACUUUUUGAGUUAUUCUUUUUCUUAUUUUUGAAAAUUCUAAUAUGUUAUGAUAAUAAGAGUUAAGCUGGAAUGUUGUCGGUAACAAACGGACUCUAUUGUCAUCCAUUUAUUUUCGAUAAUGGAGUUUCUAAAUCGACGAUCAACACCGUUGAAUAUAAUCUAUACCACUUAAAAUAUUUAAAAACCAAAUUUCAAAUCUUUCGACAUCAUUGACCUAAUAAUUUGGCUAAAUUACAGAAAAUCCCCCUGUAAUAACCCGCUUUUUCACUUUCCCCCCCUGACAUUUAAAAACCUACACUUUGUCCCCUUAUAAAAUGAAAAAUGUUCACAGGGGGGUUACGGUGUGUAAAAUGACCAUUUUGCCCCUCGCCAUUGUUGUCUUCUUCCUGAGCUUCCUCAGCCGCCCCUUCGAUCCGCCGGUUUUCCACCUCAAUCGGCCACGAUUCCUCUCAAAUUUCUUCUCCACCUGCUCCCCUUCUCCUCCUACACCGUCGCCGCCCAUCGAUUUCGGCGAUGGGUGUUGAUGGAGAGGUAGACAGGGACAACGAGAGCGAAGACGAGGCUGCGGAGGAGGACGAAGGGGACGUGGGCGAGGGCGAAGCAGUGGAGGACGGCGAGGCGGCGAGGCGGCGAAGCGGCGAGGCGGCGAGGCGGCGAGCCGGAGGGAGCGAAGCAUCCGAGAAGAGGCAGAGGGGUAUUUUCGGUAUAAAAAAAUAUUUUUUAACAGAACCCAUAACGGAACCCUAACGGAAGGGGUGAAGUGCACAUUUUUCAUUUUACAAGGGGGCAAAGUGUAGGUUUUUAAAUGUCAGGGGGGGAAAGUGAAAAAGCGGGUUAUUACAGGGGGGUUUUCUGUAAUUUAGCCUUAUAAUUUUAAUGGUCGAUAUGAGGCGUUUUUUCGUUUAACGGUAUAAUGAUUUUCAAAUCAAUUAAAUUUUGGUUAGAAAAUUCUUUAAACUAUUUAGAACAAAAUUUAUACUCUCCAUCUUAAUUACAAGAUUCUUAUCAUCAUUAUCAUUCAUUCUUAGCCAUUUAUUUUUAUAUCCACUUGGUAGACAAGAGAACAAUAUCGAAAAAGUAUGAAAUGCGAUUUCUAGAUACUUCAAAGAGUAUAAAUCAUGUUUAAUGGUGCCGAUCGUCAAUUUGGAGGCUUUAUCAUCGAAAAUAAAUGGGUAACAACGGAGUCCGUUUAUUACUGAUAACAUUUCAGCUCAACUCCUGAUAAUAAUAAAAUAUUUUAUUAAGUAACAGAAUAUUUUGAUUAAAUAAUAUUCUAUCAACAAAGCUAAAAUAUUAUUAAUUAAGAAGUACUUUUUAAAUAAGAAUAAUUGGUAUUUUAGGUUGUAAACCUGAUUUUUUUUUUCUUUUCUUUUUUUUUUAAUUCAUGCAUCUUGCAUGCAAUGCCUUAUAGUGUUAGUGUUAGGCACAAGGUUCAUACAAUUUAUACCUUUAAUAUUACAUUGAACAAGAGCUCCUUGAGCACCCAAAACAAAAUAGGUAUAAAUUUUACACACUCUCUAUUAAAACAAGCCAUUUUUUAACAUCAAUCUUAUUAUUUUUUUAAUAUUAAAAAUAUCAAAGGGUGUCUAAAUUUUUGGAUGGGACGAUAAAAAAUUUACAUCUAAUUUUUGAGUGUACAAAUAGUAUUUUUCCUUUAAUUUCGUUUUGUAAAUUUUGAAUACCCUUCUACCAAGCAGUAAUUUCAUCAACAUUCCUUCAGAGUUCAAACUUAAAUAUUUAUAUUGUUUUCAAAUGCCGCUACUUUUAGAAAUAUGUAUUAAUUUGAUGGAUUAGUUUUAAAAUUUUAUUUUUGCUCUCCGAAAAGCUAAAAACUUAAUUAUGAACUUACCAUCAUUAAAGCAAUUUUCACAAUUUUAAUAUUUUUUUUAAAAAAAUAAAUAAAAUAGAUAGAUUGCACACUUAGUAAGCAAUUAAAAUUAGUUUAUAAGCUACAAAAUUAAAAAUUAAAUUCUAAAUAAAAAAUAAAAAAAAUAACAUGUAUUAAUAAUUUGCCUUACAAGGAAUGGUUGACGAUAAAAUAAUCAUUUUAUCAACUUAACUAAGGGGCCGUUUGGUUGCAUAUAGUUGCAACUGCAUUGCAGUUGUAAUUACAUGUAAAUACAAAUUUCGUGUUUGGUUUGAUAUAUUUAACUCCAACUACUACAGUAGGAAUUGCAGGAGGGGGCUCAAUUGCAGCAGUUCGAACUACUCCCAAAUUGGCCGCAGUUCCAACCACAGCAGUUGGAGAGAGUAACUUUAAAUAAAAAAGUAUGCUUACCUCCUUAAUAUUUUUUUAACAAAAAUUAUUUUUUUUUAUAUUAGAGGUAAUCUCACCAUCAUAUAUAUAAAAUAAUAAAAUUUUAAAAAUUAUUUCUCAACUGCAUGCAAUCAAACAAAUUAUUUAUAUUUGCAGCCCUUUCUAUUAUAUCCAACCAAACAUAAUUUAUAUAGUUGUAACUGCUGUAUUUCCAAAUUCAUGUAUCUCUAACUACACUGCAUUUAUAAUUACAUCUAACCAAACGGCUCCUAAUAUUUAGGAAAAACUUCAAAAACCCCCCUUGUAGUUUCCAUUUUUUUCACUUUAGUACCCUGUGGUUUAAAAUAUAUCAAGUUAGUACCUGUGGUUUCUCACUUUAUCAGUUUAGUACCCUGUGGUUUAAAGUGUAUCAAGUUAGUUCCCUGUGGUUUUGCACUUUAUCACUUUAGUACCCUGUGGUUUUAAUUUUGUAUCAAGUUAGUACCCUGUGAUUUUUUAAAUUAUAGGGUACUAAAGUGAUAAAGUGUGAAACCACAGGGUACUAAAGUGAUAAAGUGAAAAACCACAGGGUACUAACUUGAUACACUUUAAACCACAGGGUACUAAAGUGAUAAAGUGAAAAACCACAGGGUACUAACUUGAUACAUUUUAAACCACAGGGUACUAAAAUAAAAAAGUGUGAAACCACAGGAGGGUUUUUUGAAGUUUUCCCUAAUUUUUAACUCUCUUUUAACCUGAGUAAGCUUAUAAAAGUUCACACUAGAAGCAUUUAUGAUUAAUCAACAGGUUGAGACUCCAAAUUCAAAUAGUCAGAAAUGAAAAAUACUAUCUGUACAUUAAAAAGAAUGAAGAGUUACAAAAAUCUUUAUAUUUGUCGUAAAAAAAAAUAAAAAUUACAAGACAAUGACUCAUUAUUGGCAUUUGCACGAGAGUUUACGAUUUAUACCUUAUUUUUGGGCGUAAAAGUAGCGGCACUUGGGCUACCAGUGGAUUAGGCCACGCAAACUCCGAACAAGAUAUGGCCCAAAAUUAGAGGAAAAAAUAAUUAUAGAGCCAAUAAGACGACAAAUUCAUUGAAGAGCUCAUUAACGAGAUCUCAACGAGAUAGUCAGAUAAGACAUAUGAUUCGCAACACAACCAAAUUUUGAAGGUCGCAUAACGAGAUCUAUUUUAUAAAAAAAGAAACCUAAAUGGCGAUCAACAAAGCUCAUUUACGAGAUCCCAACGAGAUAGUUGGAUAAAACAUACGAUUCAUAACACAACCAAAUUUUAGAGGUCGCCUAACGAGAUAUUAUUGUUGACGGAAAAAGAAACCUAAAUGGAGAGCAUCUCUUUCUUAUGCUGAAAUUUGUACAAAAAAUUGAUAGUUUAUAAUAACUUUCAAAAUUUGUGCGGAGUGAAUCCUUAGUCCCACAUAUUAGUCUCAAAAAAAGCUUGUAGAAGAUCUUCUCAACAAAGCCGCGAUCAUAUGGAAAAAAAUAAAGGAUUAAUUUUAUGCAGAUCCCUACAAACAUAGUAAAUGACAAAUAUAUUUCUAGAAAAUUUAACUUUCAUAUGUUGUCUUUACAAAUGUCCUGAUAUUUCUAAAUAUUUUCCUACCGUUAGAAAAAUUUAGUUAAUCACAGGUUAAUUAAAUACUUAACCUUGAUUGGUUUUUGACAUUUUACUUCUCUUAUAUUAUGUUGUUAUGAUUUUUAAAGAGAUAUAUUUGUGAUUGCAAAAUUGAAAAUAUAAAUAGUUUUCUAACGAUUCUCUAACGGUAACAAACCAGAUAAACAUAUUUGAAAAUAUUAAAACUUUUACAUGGACAACAUAUGAAAGUUGAACUUUGUAGAAAUAUAUUUGUCGCUCACUAUAUUUACAGGGACUUGUAUGAAAUUAACCCAAAUAUAUAUAUAUCAUAAACUGUAUCUAAUAUUUGAUAAUUUUUGUUUUAAAAUCAAAAUCUAUAUUCUAAUAUCACUUUUUGUGUUAAUUAUAGCCAUAUGCUCUAUUUCUUGUAUAAGGUCCAACUAAUAUGAAAGCUUUUAAAAUGUGCUGUGCUAGUUUCCACCAUUCAACUAAACAAGCAUUUAUUUCUUUUUUAACCAACCCCUGGCACCAUAAAUCAAAAAUAUGUGGUCAUUUUUAUUUUUAAUUAUUUUAUUUAUUUUUAUUUGUGGAAAAAAAAAUGUGUGGUCAUUUUUAUUUUUAAUAACUCUAUUUAUUUUUAUGCGUGGAAAUUAGUUAGGUGUAAUGUGAGAGGUUGUCCACAUCACAAAUCACCAAAUUAAAAGUGGUAGAUGACCCAUUUGAUCUAUAUAAUUCAUUUGCUCUGGUAAUAACUAUUUGGUCUAAAUUAUAUUUUUUGUCCUCAAAUUAAGAAGCUUGUAACACUUUAUUCUUUAAAUUUUAAUUUAUUAUGACUUCUUAGCUUGAGUUUUUUAAAUUAUUAUUAUAAUUAAGUCCACGUACAAUCUUAUUCAGUUGAGUAAAUAUUAAUGUGUCGCCAAUAAUGGUUAAAACGCCGCACCAGUUUUAGUCAAUUACAUUACGUUGUGGGACGUAUUUACAGUAAUUUGCUAUGUUAAAGCCAAGAUUAGAACGAAUUAAAAACUUAGUUUGAGGACCCAAAUUAUAAUUUAGCCUAAACUAUUUUCAUUCUAUUCAUGUAUAUUGCAUGUUCAAUUAGGAAGCGUAUUAAGUGCGUGCAUUGCCAAUCGAAUGAUAGUCGGGUCGGUAAAAAGCUGUUUUGUUUUUGGAAAAAGUAUAAAAUAAAAUUUUUCGAGAAAAAAGUUUUUCACAAACUCGGGCAACGAUCGAGCCUCCUCCGAGGCACGUACCGUCACCCACCGCAAGGGCACAAUAGAACCGUAGACUACAACGUCUUUGCACACCCGAAGAUUCGUCUUUGUCGGCCUUUCCUAAACUAAAGUGAAGAGUCGGAUUUUCGAUCGGAUUGCGUCAGCACGUUCAGCACGACUGGGGCAUUGAAUCUACAAUUUCUUUUCGUCCGAUUAGGUCGCCGAUUCACGACGGAACUUAUCCUCUCACCAAAAAGGCAAAACUACGCACAAAUACAUAAAUUAUAUGUAUCUCUAGUUUUCUCGAAAAUCGUACGUCAGAUCUAAAAUCUGUCAGCGCCAAAGAUUUCGGAAUAGUUGAAUCAUUGAAAACGAACUAUUGGAGUGCUAUGAACGGAGUCCGAUACGUAUCAGAAGUCAUCUCCAUUGAUCGGCCUCUCCGAAAAACCGAAGAUAGUUCGUCUAACUUUCUCGAUUUUGCAUUUUUAUCCGAAAAAGACGGACUCUUAUUCCAUUUCUAUAUGCUUUCUAUAGAUCCAACUUUUUUUUCAAUCUCACAUCCUUUGGUUCUAAAAAUAUAUAUAUCCUCUUUUUUUUCAAAUUUUUUUAAGGAAAAUGUGUUUUUAUUUUUUUUAUUUUUUUUCCUGAAAAAUGGGGGACAGAUAAAUAAGCUUAUUAAAUUUAUUUAUUAUCUGGUCUAUAAUUGGAUUGGUAUUUUGAUUGCAAAUCAACAGGUUGAAAGUUCGAUCCCCAAUAUGUCCCUAACAUUUUUUAAUUUCUCAUUUGGGUGCCUAAACUUUUUUUUUUUUGUUUCAAAUGUGCGCGCUUGUCCUAUCAACCUAAAUCUCGUUAUUCUCAAUAUCUUCCUUGGCACUUACGACUAUCUUAUCUUUGCGCAGGAUAUCUAUUGUCUCUUUUGCAGCAUCUGACGAUAUCUUUAGCGUCGAGUCAGAAGUGCUACCAGUUUUUUAAACAAACUGAUAAAAAAUUAGUGGCGAAGAUUGAUUAUGGCUGUCAAGCGACGACAAUAAUUUAUAUGACUAGGUAGAAUUUUCUUUUUUUACUAGAGUUAAUAUGGCUUAUUUUGUCGAAAUUAUCAUGAAUUUGAAUAGUUCAUACCUAAUUAAUUGAAAAUAAAAAUUAAAAUAUUAAUGACAUAAUAGUAAAGAAAAAGAUUUGGACUCCAAAGUGCAAAAUUGGUAAAUGUUAGGUACUCUUGGUGCAAUUAACCCAAAAACAUAAAAAAAAAAUUAAAAAAAAAUUAGAAUCGAAUACUAAGGUCAACAUCAAACGUGUAGUCUAAAAUAUAAAAGAUAUCCAAGUCAAAAUAUAAAUCAACUGCAGGUCUUCUUCGCAAUUUGCACGGGCCCAACGGUCAAAGAGAACCGUUGGGUUUGAAUUUUGACGUGCCCUGUUUUUUUCUCUUUUUUUUCUUUAAUUUAACAGUUAAUAUUUUUUCUAAAUUAAUUAUAUUGAUAUGCAAAUGGUGCGUGAUUCAAAUAAAUUUUGUACGUUUUUAAUAAAUAAAAAAUAAUAAUCUAAUUAAAGAAUAAUAUAAUAAUGUUAUAUUAAAUUAAAAUAUAUUUUUAUAUUUUUAAAUAAAAAGAAAAUUUUUAAUUGAAACGUGGUUCCUCUUGCAUUAAGUAGAUGUUAUGUGACUGAAAAGACCCUCAACUAUCCUGAUGUUACACUUUGAUCUGCUUCUCACCUGUAGUUCUUAAAUAUUUUUGUAUAUAUAUAUAUAUAUAUAUAUAUAUAUAUAUAUAUAGAGAGAGAGAGAGAGAGAGAGAGAGAGAGAAUGCUAUCGAUAACAAACGGGCUCCGUUGCCACCCAUUUAUUUUCGAUGAUGGAGCCUUCAAAUCGACGAUCGGCACCGUUGAAUAUUAUCUAUACCACUUGAAGUGUUUAGAAAUCAAAUUUCAUAUAUUUUCGAUAUUGUUCUCUUAUCCAUCGAGUGGACAUAAAAAUGAACGGCUGAAAAUGAAUAUUCUUUAAAAAAUGAUAAUAGGAGUCUUGUAAUCAAGAUCAAGAGUAUAAAUCUCGUUUUAAAUAGUUUAAAAAUUUUCUAACAAAAAUUCAACUGAUUUGGAUAUCUUUACGCCGUUAAACGAGAAAACGCCUCAUAUCGAUCAUUAAAAUUACAAAUUUUAAAACCUUUUGAUCACUAGGCAGAUGAUGUCAAAAAGAAUUGAAAUUUGAUUUCUAAACACUUCAAGUGGUAUAGAUCAUGUUCAACGGUGCCGAUCGUCGAUUUGGAGGCUCUAUCAUCGAAAACAAAUGGGUGGCAACGGAGCUCGUUUGCUGUCGAUAGUAUUCUAGCUCAACUAUAUAUAUAUAUAUAUGAAAAAACUUCAAAUAUCAUCUAUAUGGUUUCAUAUUUUUUCGUUUUAGAACUCUGUGAUUUAAAGCGUAUUAAUUUAAUGUCUUGUGGUUUUACCGUUAUCUUUUUAUUAUCGAUUUCACUAGUUUUUUUCAUUAAAUUAAUAAUAAAGUUAAAACUAAAAGGUACUCAAGUAAAUAUUUGAUAAACUAGGUAAAAUAAUUGAAGCUUUUUGUAUAUAAUUUAACGAAAUAUUAACGGAGAAACUGACGGAAAGAUAAAAAUGAAACCAUAAAACACUAACUUGAUACACUUUAAAUCAUAGGGUAUUAAAAUAAGAAAGUGCAAAAUUAUAGGGGUGGUAUCUGAAGUUUACCUAUAAAAUAUAUGAUACAUAAAUUUUUGUCAAAAUUUUUUUUUUUUUAUCGUGUUUAAACUAAACUGCAUGUAAUAAGUAAUUGUUUAUGAUAAGAAAAAUUAGAUUAACACAUAAAAUAGUUAUACAUUUCACGCCCUUUUUUGUAAAUAAAGAAAAGAAUUUGCAAUACCUCAAUUUUAUUUAUUUAAUUUUUUUUUAUCUUGGUCUCCAAAAAACAUAAAAAAAGAAAAAUCUAACCUAUUUUUUGAUUUGACAAGUUCGAUCGACAUAUUUUUCUCUUUACAAUUUUGAAUUGAAAAUUCACUUUUUCUCACCUCUUUUGUUGACCUGGGAAAAAAUCAAAAGUCAAAAAAAGAAUUUUUGGCGGAGGCGCAACGUAAGCGCCAAACGAAGCAUUUACAUUGUUUGAACAUGUGAAGAAGUCAAAAAUAGUAGCAGCAUGAGAGAAGAAGGUUUUUUUUUUUUUUUUUUGAGAGAUAAGUAGCACGCUAUCCGCUUCGUUUAUUUUUAGAAAUAAACUUAGCUGGAAAUAUAAAUCAACUAGGAUUCGGAACUUAGGUCUCGGGUACCAACCACUAAUCCCUUUGCCACUUGAUCUAGAGACGGUCGAUCAUGAGAAAAGAAGUUGAGAUUGGAAAAGUAGCUUCAAGGUGUGAUUUGUUGAACGUAGUAGCUCAAUUUUUUUUUAAAAAAAAUAGUUAAUUCACAUAAUUUAAUAUGACAUCAAAGCAAUAGAUCAUGGGUUUGAGUCCUGCCACGCUUCGUUAUUUAAUUUUCUUCUAUUUAAUUCAAAAUUCACAUACUGUAUCUAUCCGAUAGUCUCAAACUAUAAACAAUUAUGGUAAAAAUGUAUAAAGUUUCUCUAAACUGUCGCCUGUACAUUUUGAUUCAACUACUUGACUUUUAUAAGUUUGAUUUUGAUACCCAAUAUUUCGAUUUAUCUUAUAUAAGCCAUUUGAUUACUUUUUCGGUGCAAGUUUUAAGCCAAUUACUUAUUCUAAUAAAAUUAUAGUUACAUAAAUUAUAUAAAAUACACUAAUUAGACCCGUAAAAAUAAAACGAUACAUUCAAAUUUUAAAGUUUAUCAGUCAUAAACAGCUCAAAUCAAAUGACUUAAACAAUUAGAUAGCUGGAUCAAAAUUGGUCAUAGUUCAUAUAUGUUCCACACAUUAAAUUAGAGCAAAAGCUUUAGCACAAAACCUACUUGAUUCGAGAAAGAGGUUAAAAUUUUUUAAAAGAUUUUAAUUAUUUGCUAAUUAACAACUAAUUAACUGAUAUUUUUCAAGUGGAAAAUACAGAGCAAUUUUGCAACAUUCUAAAAAGAAAAAUUGUGAAAUUUAAUGUUCUCACAAGUUUAUGCGCUUCAUCAUCAAUUAAACAAAAGGCACAGCACAAAUACUACGUGACCCUUUUAGACACCAUACACUAUUGCUUCUAUUUUUGCCUAAACUUUGUACUAAAAUUGUACUUGUUAAGUAGAUGACAUAUUUAAUUAUGCCUAUUUAUUUUUGUCCACCAUUUCACAAUUUCUCACAUUCCAACAAACAUAAAAUUGAAUAGAGAAUAUAGUACUCUAAAGUUGAGGAUAAAAUUCACAAUUUUUUUUUGACUUGGUAUGCAGUUACUUUUGUUUUAAAAAAUAGGGUUAAUUUCAUACAGGUUCCUGCAAAUAUAAUGAAUAGCAGAUAUAUUCCUACAAAGUUCAACUUUUAUAAGUUAUUCCUGCAAAAGUUCUUAUGUAUUCAGAUAUGUUCCUACCAUUGAUCUCCGUUAGAGAAAUCUAGUUAACCACAAUUAAAAUACUUAAUCAUGAUCAGUUAAAAAGGUAAAAUGAUAUUUUUACCAUUCUUCAUCUUCCUCUCCUGCUUCUUCUUCUUUUUCCGCUUCCUCUCCUGCUUCUUCUUCUUCCUCUUCUUCUUUGUAUCUUCAUUUUCCUCCUUUUCUCCUCUUUUUUCUUCUUCGUCAUCGUCGUCGAUGAUCCGAUCGUCGUCGCUGUCGUGGUGCCCGCGUGGGCCGUUGUCACGGGCGCCUCCGACGGCAUUGGCCACGCUAUGACCCCGACAAGUUCCGCAACCCCGUUGGCCGCAACCCCGACAAGCACCGCAAGGUCGCCGUCACCGCCGCCGCCGUUCGCUCCCAAGCCGGAAGAGGAAGAGGAAGAGGGCAAGGAUAAAUUUGUCAUUUUACAUAUUUACUGUUAAAAAAUUAACAGUUUUCUAACUGAUCUUAACCAGAGGGACAUAUCUAAAUACAUUAGAACUUUUGUAUGAAUAACUUAUGAAAGUUGAACUUUACAUGAAUAUAUCUGCUAUUUAUCAUAUUUACGAAAACCUAUAUAAAAUUAACUCUAAAAAAUAAUAAAUAUAUAUAGGACGAGUAGGAGAGCUAAAAUGAGCUUUUGGAUUUUAUGGUCGAAAAGUUCAAUUUGAAAAUGAUUUGAUCAAUUUCUAAGAAAAAGAAAAGGAAAGUAACUACUACUUGGUCAAAAUUAGGUGGUUUUAUAACAUCAAGGUAAAAGAUAAUAACAACAAUAAUACUAACUUUGUUGAUUGUUAUUUUUGUUUAAGUAAGCCGCACCGUCACAAAACAUAUUAUAAUACAGUUUAUGAAUCAAUUUUGCUUAUGUAAGAAUUGGUAGCUCGCGAUAACUAUUAAUUUACAAAAAUGUUUUAGAAUAAAUUAAAUAGUCAGUAUUAUACAUUUGGUCGAUACAGUCAUCCGAAUUUUCAAAUCAUAAACGCGGUAUUUAAGCUGUAUUUGCGAAUAUCGGAUAAAUUGUUUUAAAACACUUUUAUAAAGUGCCCAUAACAAUACAUAGAUUAUUAUUACAAAAAUAAUUGGAUCCCUUCUCUUUUUUUUGGUAACUUUAUUUUUUUUUUUAUUAUUAUUAUUAUUAUUAUUAUUAUUAUUAUUUAUAUUAUUUUUCCUUCUCCUCUCGUAGGCUAAUAAACCCUUUGGGACGUUACAUGGACGUUCCAACUCCAAGCACAUAAAAUUUAAGUAGUAGAUUACGUGGCAGAUUCUGAUUGGUGGAAUAAUCUUAAUCAAAGACUCUCCCCCCCCAAUGCGUUUCUUGCGUGAAAUUGGUGGCGAAGGAUUCGCUACAACCCCCGUUGCACAACUUUAUACAACCCAAUCAGGUCAUUCAUUAAAAAAUUUUAUAUUUUAUUUCCAUAAAAGGAUAUAUUUUUUUUUAAAAGGAAAAAAAAAGAGAAGGGUAAAUUAAAUUUCUGCAUAAUGACUUGUAAAAAAAGAAAAAAAAAAUCUCAUAUGGCUUUUAAAAAAUGUUUAUUAUUAAAUUAUUACUUGCUAUGCACAUCUAAUUUUGAAUUAAUUAUAUUUUCUAUUUAUUUGAAAUUAAUUAUACCUUAUGAUUUAAUAUAAGAUACUUUACUAAAAUUGUGCAUUUACCUCCAAUUCUUUUGGUGUAAAACUCUAUAAUCGUUGCAAAUUUUAAAAAUUAUACCAUAAAAGAUUUAAAAAUAAGUAUAAAAUAAACUAAUAAGCUGUAAAGAAUUUAUACAUAGGCUUUAAUUUUCUUUAAAAAAAAAACACAACAAUUUUCAAAAUAAUCACGAAUUUUUUGGAGUUCGUAGCGGUUCCGUACAUGCACGGUUAUAUGAGAUCCACAUCAAUCUUUAGGAUCCUCGCACAAGUAUCGCCACGUGUCCACCAGUUCCAUCCAACGGCUCUCGACACGCUGAAUCUCGUUGCGUUUUAACGACGACUAAUCCAACCGCUUCUGGAAUCGUAGACUCGUAGUCAAUCGAACGCUGUUAUUUAAAAUUUUUUUUUAAAAAAAAAAAAAAAAUGCAAAGAGACCCCCCACCUAUUUUCAAAUUUUAACAACGCCAACAUUUUUUUCAAUUACAUUUUUUUUUUUAUACAGAACAAAGUAAGCUGAAGCUAUCCGUUUUGUUCAUUUUAUUUUUCAAAAAAUAACAAUUUAAUUUUUUUUAAGUUUUGAUCCGAUCAUCUAAUAAAUGAAAACUAAUUUGAUUUUAAUUUUAGUUUGUCGGUAUGAAUAUUUGAAUUUUUUAAGACAGUUUAUGCAGCUUACUUAUCGAUCAAUUGACUGAUUAAUUAAUUAAUUAAUUAAAAUUAAGUUGGUUUUUGGGGUUGUGCUUAUUGUAUCAAGUAAUAGCUUUGUGUUAAAAGUUAAUAUACAUACAUAUAUAAUUAUAUAUGCACUGAGUUGGUUUCUAAUUUGUUAACCCAAAAUCAAACCAAAAUUUUUAACUAAAAUUCCAACCAAAAUUAAAUCAUUUAUAUUUUCGGUUUAAUUGCGUGAUUUUUUCUGUGUUAUGCUCAAUCCUACUUAAAACUGAGAUGUUAAUUUUAAAAAAAGUUAAAAUUUUAGAGAUGUUAAUAAAAAAAUAAAAAAAUAAAGUUGAGGGCUCUGUUCGGAAUUACCUGUAGGUGAGGGGGUGUUCAUAAAUUGUCACCUUGAACAUAUAUAAGAGAUAUAUAUAUAUAUAUACCGAAUAAAGCGAGCGUUAAUUUCUCUCUCUAGUUCUCUCUCUCUCUCUCUCUCUCUUCAAUCUUCGUCUCCGUAUUCCUUGUUCCAGGUAAUUUAUUUUAAAAUCGAUUCCCAACGAAACAGUUUUUCUCUUUUUUGCGUACUCCUCAAUAUGUUUUUAAGUUAAAUUCUUAGGUUUCGUAGCAUUUUGGUGUGUUUGGGUUUAUGGGUUUAUGUCCUUUUGUGUUCUUUGUUAGGUUUUUUUUUUUUUUGCAAUUUUUUGAGAGAUUUUAAGAUAAAAAUUGUAAAGUUUUGAGCUUUUUAAUUAGUAUGUUUUUGUUUGUUGGGUAGUAAAUUUUUCGUUUUUUUUUAUUAAUUGUUCAGUUUGAAGGAGGAGGCGAUGGAUUGGAAUUUUGGCCCCAGAGAACAAAUUCUAUGGCCUGUUACUAUUUUCUCUGGAAUUAUCAUGUGCAAAAUUGUAAGUGUUUCUCCAAAUUUUGGUGUAGUUUUUUAGUUUUUUGAAAUAGAUAAUGUGUUAAAUCAUUAAAUUUCUCUCCUGUGGCUUAAUUUUGGUGAAUUGUUUUAAGUUUCUCUCUUCAUAUAUUCCUUUAUUGUAAUUUUUCUUUUAUUUAUUGUAAGUAGCUAAUCUGAAUUUGUGAAUUGGUUCACUAAUUAGAGAGAAAAUUAAGAAAAUGUAUUAUAUGUUCAUAAGCUUUUUCUAAUAUCUCUUGUUCUCUUUUUAUGGGCCCCUUGUAUUUGUCUCCCUUUAACAUUACAUUUAUUUAUAUUAUCCACUAGAUUAGGGUUUUUACAGUGGUAAUUAUUUGAUUAAAGCAAACAAAUAGCCAAGUAAAUGUUAGCAAUUGAUGAUGUGGGUAUAACUCGAUAUUAGUUUGCGAAUUAAAUUUUGAAGAUUCUGAUAUGUACGAUAAUUGAUCAAUUAGACCAUUCCUGGUUUGUUGUUAAAUAUUGCAAAUAUUCGAGACCGGUUUAAUACAAUUUGUUUCGUUCUCGAAGGUAUAUGAGAUCACGCACCGCGUUAGUCCCCUGUUCUUUAAGGGCUAUAAUGGACUAAACAAAAUGCAAAAGAUCGAGUGGAAUAACAGGUCAGAGAUGUUUACGUACAAAUUUGUGGUCGCGAUAAGAAUCCCAUAAUUUGGUUUAUCCUCCUCUUCUUUUCUGCUAAAGAUUUUUGAAAUUUUCGCGCAGGGGUUUCUCUACAUUUCAUGCAUUUGUUGCUGCGGCGAUUUCUUUUUAUCUGACAGUGAUAUCAGACCUUUUCAAGGAAGAUGCUAGCAGUGUCCUAAUCAUAGAUAGAAAAUCUUGGCUAUCUGACGCCAUAUUCGGGGUAUGUUCUUCAGUCUAAAAUUUGAUUAAUAAUUGUGUAGUUUCUUUUGAUUACGAAAAUGUUGUUUACCUAAAGAUUAUGCUGUUACUGUACAAUACAAAACUUUUAAAUUAAUACGGAGUUAAGAUACGGCACAGCUAAUCGUUUUGCUCAAAUAAUCCUUCUUUUUAGACUAGAUGAUAUUUGUAUGUAACAAUCUCCGCAGCAUCUUAAUAUAUUAUAAUCUCGAGAUAAAUCUUAGAAAGUACUAUUUGUCAGCGCAAACACUUACCGAAUUGACCUGCCUAAUGUUCUGAAACAAAAUACAGAUCUCUCUUGGUUAUUUCCUUUCGGAUUUGGUGAUGAUCCUGUGGCUUUUUCCUUCGUUAGGCGGGAAGGAAUAUGUGAGUAUUAUCAUUCAAAUUCCUAACUAGUGACCACUUAAAGUUCCCCCCUACAUGUUAAUUAAAUAUUUGUUUUCUUGAUGAAUCCAGGUACUGCAUCAUGGGCUCUCCAUGUAUUCAAUCCUUCUCGCUCUACUGUCCGGCAAAGCGCAUCUCUAUAUUCUUAUGGUUCUCUUUACUGAAGCGACGACUCCCUUUGUAAACCUUAGAUGGUACAGUUUGGCAUAGCAUUUUUUGUAAAGUUCCUAGCUCACUUUAAUCUCCUAUUUUUGAAGUUAAUUACUGUAUUUUCGCAGGUAUUUGGAUGUUGCUGCACGAAAAAGUUCGAAUAUCUACAUAUACAAUGGAGUGGCCUUGUUCUUUGGAUGGCUGGUAACCUAUACCGCUUAACAUAUAACAUAGUGAAGUAAUAGACAUUCUAAUUUUGGAUUAUGAUCCAUGCCAUGCUAAAGUUUCCGAUGAAUGAUCUGCGUGUGAUGUCGGAAAUUUUGUCGUCUCGAUCAGAUGACUGUUUGUCAGGCUAAAAUGCAGGAAAACCCGUAUAGAUUUUGCAAUUUCACAUUUCCCCUGGUGGAGGUUUGAAACCUGAUGUUACCCAUCAACUUAUGGGCAAAGUGAUAGUUCAUUGCUGCGAAGUGAUGAAAUCUUGUUUGUUCAAGGGAACCAGUGUAUAAGUUUAGCCCUUUAUAAUAAGCAAUUAAUACCGGAGACAUUCCUAUUAAGAGACUUUUUUUUAUCUCACCAUUAUGACUAGCAAUUGAGAUCAAAACUUAGUAGAACAAGUUUAAAUCAACCCAUGAACAUCGCAAAAAGCAUAAAAAACUGUCAAUGAACACAUGAAAUCAGACGCGCUUUUUACUGUUAGAACACUACUUUUACGAUCUUCUAACAGAUUGAUUAUUUGUUCAGGUUGCCCGGAUCCUUCUAUUUGCAUACUUCUUCACUCACAUUUAUCUUCAUUUCGAUCAGGUAGGCAGCAGGCUCUCUUAUCAAAAAAUACGCUCAUUCGGAACACUAAUAUGCUGAAAACAAAUUAAAAAUAUAUAACAAUUUUCGUCAUGACAUCAAAAUAUAAUUCGAAACCAGUCCCUUAUUAAAGAUGUUUACUCUUAUUCUUUUUUCUGUUUUUAUUAUCCCCAGGUGAAAACCAUCUUUCCUCUUGGCUUCUAUAGUCUGAUAACGGUGCCUCCGAUGCUGGCUUUGAUGAACUUGUUCUGGUUCUGGAAGAUUUUCAAAGGAAUGGUGAAGACCCUCUCGAAAAAGAGGCGUACACAAUGACGAAAUUUGCGACAUUUCUCUCUUUUUCUUCAUUUUCCUCUUAUAAGAGUAGUAAUAAUUUCGCCACACUAAAAGUUUGUAUUAGUAGCAUGAAUUUUCCUCUUUUAUCUUCUCAUGCAAUGUACAGUUGAUCAGGUGAAUGCAGCAAUGUGAUACCUACUAUUUUCUACACUUGUAUAGCAGAGAAUCAAUCCAAUUCCAUUUUCUCAGAAAUAAGGAGAUUAGUAGUUUUUGAAUUCAAUUUAAAAGAGUUUGAAAUUGGUGCAUAAAUUCUCCCUCUAAAUUUAUCUGACAGAAUAUUCUGUAAUCUGACAAAAUUUUAUGACAGUAUAUGCUACUUUUUCUGAAGGGAAACAUAUGGUAAAAUUAGGUUUCAAAAUUAAAAAAUUUUAAAAUUUUCUUUACUUCAAAAUUUGUGCGCUAAAUUUUUUCGCAGACUUUUUAGUCCCUGCACAUCCAAUUUUCCUUUCCAGCAAAAUAAUAUAAUAUAAUGUAUUAUUAUAUGAUUUUUUAAAUCUAUUAAUAAAUAUAGAAUACAGCCUUUGAUGCUGCCUAAGAUAAAAUUUAACAAUAAAUUUGAAAAAAAAAAACUUAAUGACGCGAUAAAAUUUAAACUGAUUGCGACUAAAUUAAAUUAAAUUUUAAAAUAAAAAAUAAUUUACUAUAUUUUUUUAAAAUCUGUGGAGUGUCUGCAAGAUUAGGGGCCGUCUCAAAAUUUUAAGUUGAACACGAUAAUUCAAUCAUUAUAUUCAAACACGGUGAUUGGAUUAUAUUUUUUUUUUUUUGUAUUUUUCAUCGCCCUAAGCUAAAAAAGAGGAAAAAGAGGGAUUAGAGUGUGAUUGGAUUACUUUAUUCUUUUUGUAUUUUUUGUCGUCCCUCAGUUAAAAAAGAAGGAUUAUGGUGUAAAUAUAAACACGGUGAUUCAAUCACCAUAUUUAAACACAAUGAUUCAAUCAUUGUGUUCAACUUAAAAAUAUCAAUGUGACGCUCACAUAGUAAGAAAAAAGAUAUAUAUGUAAUAUAUAAAUUUGUUAGAAUUAUUUAUAAAUUUUUUUUUGGAGAAAGCUAAAUAUAAAAAAUUAAAGCCUUUGAAAAGACUUACUUAUUAUUAUUAUUAUUAUUAUUAUUAUUUUGCAGCAUAAAUUUCAUACGGAAUACCAGAAACUUUUUAAUUUUUAUUUUUUGUUGAUCAAAUAUGCCAUUAAAAGUAACUAUAAUUAAAUUGAAAAAGUUAAAAGCUGUGUCAAAUAACCACUUAACAAAAGCUUCCAAAAUGCUCCCAACAAUUGUCAAAAAGGAAAGUUAUUAAAAAAAAAAAGUGCUUUAAUUUUAGCGCAGCAUCGAGCUAACAUGUAUUAAAGAGAUGCAUAAAAAAGUGUGCCCCAAUCAUAUAAUUAAUUGUUAUUAUGCAUUAUCCGCACGAAUAUUACAGUUUUUUUUUAAAAAAAAAGGAGUCGACGUGUUAAAAGAAGGUGCUAAAUUAUACGAACCUGUGCACUCCACCACCGACUACUUACGAAAAAUUAAUUAAAAAAAAGGUUAAUAUAUCAUACUGCUCUCGUGAACCUAGUGAAUAACAGAUAUAUUUCUAUAAAUUUUAAUUUUUAUAUUAAUUUUUAUAAAAAUUUUAAUAUUUUUAACUAUAUCUUGACUAUUAGUAUUUUUUAAAAAAAUAUAGUUAAUCAUAGAUAAAAUAUUUAAUCUUGACUAGUGAACGAGUAAAUUGACCUUUGUACUCCUCUUAUAUUAUUUGUGAUAGUAAAAAAAAAAAAAAUGAUCGUUAAAAAUUUUUAGAAGGAUAUUUCUGUAUAAUUCUAACAAUUGAAAUUUUUAGAGAGAUAUAUUUGUAAUGGCAAAUGAUAUUUUAUUUAUCUUCGGUUAAAAAAUAAAUAGUGAUAUAACAGUAACAAACCAGAAUAGUAAAUAUGAAUAUUAUUGAACUUUUGUAGAAAUAAAUAUGAAAAGUUAAACUUUAUAAUAAUAUAUUUGCUAUUCGAUAUAUUUAUAGGUAGCUGUAUAAAAAUUAAUCCUAAAAAAAUUUAUUGAACUACAUGUCAUACUAUGAUAUACCGUAUUUAGAUAGCAUUAUUAAGGGUAAACUUCAAAUACCAUUCCUGUGGUUUCACACUUCCUCACUUUAAUACCUUGUGAUUUAAAGUGUAUUAAGUUAGUGUCCUGUAAUUUUAUUUUUAUUUUUUCGUCAGCUUUUUCGUUAAUAUUUUAUUAAAUUAUAUACAAAAAAACUUUGGAUACUUCACCUAAAUUUAUCGAAUAUUCACUUUAGUACUCUUUAGUUUUAACUUUGUCACUGAUUUAACGAAAAAAAUUAGUGAAAUCGAUAAUAAAAAAAUAAAAAUAAAACCACGUGAUACUAAAUUAAUACACUUUAAAUUAUAAGGUAUUAAAAUGAGAAAGUGUGAAAUCAUGGGUGGUAUUUGAAAUUUUCCCUAAUAUUAACACGUGGUUUUUGUUUCGUUUUUUUUACCAAUUUACCCUUUCCAUUGGUGAAUGGUGAUGUUAACCCCGACCGUUAACGCCUCGAAAACGCCGUUACGAGUCCCUGCGCCUGCCCCGUUCUCGCGUUGACCACCCGUUACAAUCGAAGCGACCAAGAAACCUUCCGAACACGCGGGCGAAAAAAUGCAAGGGGACCCCUCACCUGUUGAACUCUUUGGAACGCAUCCUCUGCCAUUUUUUUUUUCCUUAAACUUUCAAAAUAUUUUGAUUCACGUAAAUAGUUUUUAAAAUUAACCAGGUUAUUAGCUGUUUGUCAUAAAGUAAUUAAUAGAAUAUCUUAAAUUUUAAUAAAUCUCAUCGAUUUCACCAAAUUUGUGAAUAAUACCACUCAAUUUAAUUAAUAGUAAAAUAAUGUAUAAAUAAAUAAAAUAAUUUUAAAAAAUUACUAAUUAAAAUGAAAAUAGAAGUUACCUAGUUAAAAAUAAUGUAUAGUUAAGGGGUUUUCCUAGAAUUUCACCGUCUUCUACCUUCGCAAGAGCUCUUCAAAUACACACAAACACCUCCACCUUAAGUCUCUCUCUCUCUCUCUCUCUCUCUCUCUCUUCGACGCGGUACGCUCACCUCCUCCCCCGUGUUAUUCUCACAGCCUCGUAGUGUAGUGCGCCAAUGUGGCUCCGCUCCUCCGCCUCGCGGCUCCUGCCACGCGGGGUCCCCGGCGCUCUCCGAGCGGCGGCGGAGCACACGACCCUCCUCCGCCGAGCCUCCUCCGCCGCCCCGGCGCCGGAUCUCGGCCGCGGCGGCGGCGGCGGCGGCGGGGGGGAGGAGGGGGAGGAGGAGGGGCUGAGCCCGGCGGAGGCGCGGCGCCUGGUGCGGCUCGUGGACGUGGAGGCUGUAAUAUCCCUUAUGGCUCGGGCUUGUAUAUUGCUGUUCUCGGUGCUUCUGGUCGCGGAUCCGAGGUAACGUAAUCGGUAACCGAGGCUAGAGAGGUAAGGAAAUAGAGAUAGAAAUUGGGAUUGAGAUAGAGAGAAGAGAAAUAGAGGUAGAGAGAUAGACAGAUGAGGAUUGAGAGGUGAGGGUUAGGGAAAAGAGUUGGGAUAGAACAAGAGAUAGAGAAGAAGAAGGGUUUGGAGAAGAACCCUUGGGGGAGAAAUAGACUAUUUCAUUUUCAUUCAUGAUCUCUGUUUACAGCAUAAUUUGGUAUAUAUACUAUCUACUAACUCAUACUGGAAUGUAAAAACAACUAGGCUAAGAGGGCUAAAGUGCAAAAGUGGUUAAUAGAGAGGUAUGGCCGGUGGGCUGCAAUUCCGCGGGCAAUUGGGCGUUAAUUGGGCUUGACCGGUCAUGAGCAUCCAGUAAGCGGGUAAUAGGGCGAACGGAUAUCGGGUUUCCAUCUCCGCAGGAUCCUCAAAGGAGCGGGUUUUGGGUCCGCCUUUUCCCUCCGCUCCGGAGAUCUGCAGCUUCGAUCCGCCAGCUCCCUCCUUCGCCCCCAAUUGUCUAGAUUUGGUCGGAGCUCCCUUCUUCCGCCUCGAUCUCCUCUCACCCUCUGCCUCGAAGGAUGCCCUAGUUCUCUCUGGUUUGCCUCCGUCCGCCCGCCUGAGCCUCCCUGCGACCACACUUCUCGCCGGUCCAGCUCGGCGCCCUCACGCCGCCGGAGCUCCACCCGAACUCGCACCUUCCUCAACCUGCCGUGGCCCUUAUUUCUACUCUUACUAUUGUAAAGUUGACAUUUUUACUUCCUUCCCCUGCUAACUAUUAAACUACUUAUUCUUCAGGGCAUUACAGAGGCGCUGAAGAGGCGCAUACGGGAGCGCGGCGGCGGCGACGGGGAGGUGAUCGGGUACUCGGAGCUCCUCGACGCGUGCGAGGGCGCCGGGGUGGCGCGCACCCGCGCGGAGGCCGCCGCGGCGGCGCGCGCGCUCGACGAGGCCGGGGUCGUCCUCCUCUUCCGCGACAAGGUCCAUCUCCACCCCGAGAAGGUGAUCGAUCGAUUUCGAGCUCCCACCCACCCCACCACCUCCCCAACAACUUUUCCCCUUUUCUCCUUUAAUUUCAACUUUUCCCCUUUUCUCCUUUAAUUUCCUAAUUAUGGGUUUGGGGUAAAUUAGGGUUUCUUUGAUAUUUCUAUGCUGGAUAUUUUGCAGUUUAUAAAAAAGAAAAAGAAGGUUUUCGCAAAAUUAAUGGAGAAAUUUGAAUUGGUUAUCUCUUCUUUUGAAUUGAUUUCAUAUAGGCAUGAAACAAAAAACAACUUUUUUAAUUAUUUUCGGUUCUAAAUUGGGUAUUUGGUACUUUUUCCCGAAUUUAUGGGAAGAACAGGUUUUUUUUUUUCUUUUGUGCGAAAUUGAUUAUGAGACCUGAGAUGGGUUUCUCUCCUCUUCAAUCGAUUUCACAUUCUGUUUCAAAAUUUUUGAUUACCAUCUUUGAGAUUGUGGGUUUCUUGGUUGGAGAAGAGAUUAGAGAUUUUUUUAAAUUUGAAAAAAGAAAAAAAAUUGCUUUGAUUAGUCCUUUUUAUUUCCAUAGGAUUUUGGCCAUCAAAUAAUAAACAAGAAAUUCAAUAAGAAUUGAAAAAUAUCAACUGAUAAAGAUUGAUUAGAUUUUUUAAAUGCUUGUUGGGGCACAAGUUUACUGCUGAUUAUUAUAUGUACAUGAUUUUGUACUUGGACCUUCUAAAUUUGGAAUUGCUCUUAUUUAUUCAUAUAGAAUACAUAGCAAAAGUGGAUUAUUAUUAAUAUAUAUGUUUACUUUAUAAUAUCUUCAUGGACCACCUUAUGUUGCCCCCACUUGUUGGCAAGAAAUAAAAAAGAAAAGUUUUUUUUUUUUGUUCAAUUGUCCCUCCCUCAAAUAGAUAACAAGCAAUCAGAGAGUUUGCGUUCGUCAGAGAUGCUCAAAUUUGUAUUAGCUCUAAUUAUGUACUUUUAUAUAUUUUGGAAAUAUAUUUCGAAAAACGACGGAGGUUUCCUAAUUCAGAACCUUCUGCUUUGAUGCUACGUGGGAUAACUAGUUUUUUAUUAAAAAUUUAAGCCAUUACUGAAUAAUGUGGUUAUGUUUAUAUCCAACUUUUAGGAUUUUGAGGAGGGUAAUUAAUAUUCCUGUAGGGAUUAGAGGUUACCUACCAUGCAGUAUUUUUUUUUCUCAUUUUAUGUUAUUUUUAUGCAUCUGAACUUCACUCAUGUACAGAAUAUAAGCAGCAGUUUCUGUUACUGUUAGCAUCUGAGACUUUCACAUUCAUUCUUUUCCUUUUAUAAUUCGAUAAUGAUACAUACUAUACUCUUUGUUCUGAAAUUUCUUCUGUACAUGCUAAUUGCUCUUGAAUUAGUAUAAUACAUGCAUGGACUUUGAAAUCUAGAGUUGUUUGUUUCAUUUUCUGUUUGUUUGAUGCUGCCCAAGCUAGUUCGAAGAUAUCGUAUCCGCGAGUUACAGGCUAUUGAACUUCAUCGGUUCGUGAUCUUUUCUUUCUGUUACUUCAUUGGCGACUAUGUAAAUCUGUCGCACUUCAUUUUUGUUUUUUUUAUAGACCUUCUCAGACUAGGAAAUUUUCUCGAGUUUAUGCCGACCUAAACAAUCAUCUGACGUAUGAAAUAACCGGAAAAUUGAAUUUGCUUUUGACUCUAACUGCUUGUUCUGCCGCGCUCUUCUGUAGGUUGUAGAUCUUGUAAGGAGAGCCGUCCCGCUCGCGCUCGCACCGGAGGACGACCCGAGGAGGGAAGAGCUGAAGCAGCUUCAGCAGAAGAAGGAAGAGAUCGACGGGCUCGCGCACAAGCAGGUCCGCCGGAUCCUCUGGUCGGGGCUAGGGUUCUUCGUCGCGCAAAUCGGCGUGUUCUUCCGGCUUACGUUCUGGGAGUUCUCGUGGGACGUAAUGGAGCCGAUAGCGUUCUUCGCCACCACCAGCGGCCUCCUCGUCGGCUACAGUUAUUUCCUGAUAACAUCGAGGGACCCGACUUAUCAGGACUUCAUGGAACGGCUCUUCUGCUCGCGGCAGAAAAAGCUUUACCAGAAGCAGAAUUUCGACGUGGAGAGGUACAUCGAGCUGCAGAAGCACUGCAGAGGUCCCUGGGAUAAGAUGGUUGCCGAGAACGAUACUAAUAAUUUUCAGAAUAUUUCGCUAUUUAAGUGACAAAUUUUUUUUUUUCUCUCAAAAUUUUUUCUGACUACUACCCAGGUAUUUUAUCUGCUUCUGGGUGUAUGCUUAACUAAUACGAAAAAGGAUUGAAGAAGCUUGUAUUUAUGUUUCUGGGCUUUUAGUAAAAGCACUUUUGUUCAAGAUCUCUUGUAUCACUUGUCUCCUGCCAAAUAAAGUUUGGGGGAGCCAGUGUAACUUUUUCCUUUUUCUUUUUUUUCUUUUGUUUUGGUGUAAUCUAUAAGAAACUAGUUGCCUUAUAAAGAAAGAAUGAUGGUUAUGGAGAGUUGAAGUUUUGAUCCUUUUUUUUUUAAUUUUUUUCAAGCUUUUAACAGUGCAUCAAUUUUGGUGAGAAAAUCAUUCAUGAUAACAUUUGAAUAGAUGAAUUGUUAUGUGCAGGUUAUUAGGGGAGUUCAAUGGAAUCCAUCCAACCUAAAAGUUUUUAAGUAUAAUAGAUUUGGCCCCAUUAACAUAUAUCGGAACUAUGAAUUAUAGUAAAUCGACUAUACGAUCUUUCAAAAUUUUAAUUAUAUUAUCUAAUAUUUUAAUUUAUUUGAUUUGACUCGAUCAAUGGCACUUUAACUUCAAAGUUUGAGUUAAUUAUUUACUUUAACGAAUUUAUAAUUGUGAGAAUUAUAUGAAGUAUAUUAACUAAAUCUGUAAAUAUAAAUGACGCAUUUAAAUUUUAAAGUGACCGACUCAAAUUAAAUAAAUAAAAAAACUAUGUAGAAAAAUUAAAAUUUUGGAAGGUCAAUCUAAAAUAGUUGAUAAUUCAUGUCAGUUUUGCACAUUUAUCUAUUAAUUUUUUAUUUUUCAUAUAAACUAUUGGAUGUCAGAUUGUUAAUAUAUGAACUCCUUAAUAAUCUCUCUCUCUCUCUCUCACUUGUAAUCCAAUAACCUCCUUGAACUCUUAUGUUAUACUCUAAUCUAAGUAUUGUAUCAAAUCGCUUUCGACUCUUCCUAAAUCGAUGACGAUUAUUUCGAAUGACGACAACUACUUUGAUGUUACUUUCGAAAUCACAAGAUAGUGGAACUUAACUGAAAAAAGAAUAAAAGUAGCAGCAAAAUGUAAAGGAUAAUAAUCCAAUUUCAACAACCAAAGACUUCGGAUCAAAGUAAAGCAACGGAAUGCAGGGAAUUACGCUGGAAACUGGGAGGGAUGGAUCUUCAACAAGAUGAGGUUUUGCUGUGUGGAAGCAACAGGUCUGAUCAUAACAUUGAGGAAGAAGAUAAGUAUCAGAUCACUUUUACACCCAUUUUCUUUUCCUUUCGCUUUAUCUUUCUAUUCUUUUUUUGUUUCUUUGACUCUCUACGGUAAAACUAACGAAUAAAUGGCCAAAAGCAGCAGAUUGCAUGCCCUUCUUCGGCUGCAAAGAAUAAUCUGGAUCUUUCUUUUUGUUAGAGCCUGCCAUGAUCAGCCUACUGCUUUGGAAUCGAUUCGAGUAUGUCACUCAUUGCUUGAUUAAAAAACAAAAAGUGGAAAAGAAAGGAAAAGAAAAGGAAAUGGUCGUGUUGCUUUAAACCGAUACUGCGUCACACGUAGAUAGUUGAAGCCAAAAGAGGAAAAGAGAGCGUGUAUGCGACUGCUGCUUCAAAUUGUAAUUUAGACCCUCUUGUUGAUGGAGUUCGAGGCACGAUCGAUCGACAUGGAGCGUGAAAUCUAAAAAUUAACAAUCAGCACCAUACAAGAUGUGGGUGGGGCUUGUUUUGCUUGGUGUCAUUUGUAUUUAGUUGGAUAAUAUAAUUCACUUGCAAAAUAAUUUAAUUUAGCCCGCAAACAGGACUUCAGAGAAGACCAAAAUAUGAAGCAUCAUACUAGAAAAAAAAAAAAUGAUCAUAUACCUCAUCUCAAAUAGAACAGGCUUUUUGGGUAAAUUAAAGAGAUGUAUUUAACAAAAAAAUUAAUGUAUCCAAACAAGACCGAAGAGAUUUGAGUGCUAAUUACAGUAUAAGUGACAGCAAUUCUUGAUUAGUAGGAGGUGAAUGAAAUGUAUGUGUCUGGCACAACACUCAAAAGGCCUGGUCCACUAGAAAUUUCUAGUGGAGGGGCUGCAAAAAUAAGUUCUAUUUUAAAACUUCUACUUGGCCGACAGGGCUAGGUCGAGAAACUAUUGGUGAGGUUUUUUAUGAAAAAAAUGUUAGUGCUUUCUCGAGCAGUUGUACUCAAAAUUGGAACUCAGAAUCCACCGAAUCAGAAAACAGUUCUAGAAGCAUAUGACUAUACUGAUGCAUCGUAACACGAAAGAACACAUUUUAACUAAACGAAAGAUAGCUGAAUUACUCGUGAAAAUUGAAACAUCAAACUUGCGAAGUUUGAAGCGAAGGGAGAGAUGAUGCACAAGCAAUGUGACUUUCCUACCGACAAUGACAUGUUACACCAAACAAUCAAGAAAAUUCAUAAUGAGAUGACUCCAUUUCAUGUGCGAGCGCUCAAAUAAAACAAAGAAUUGCCAAUAAUAGAUCCAAAAAAAAUUAACCCUUCUUGUGGAAGAAAAUUGACCAACAAGGGCGUAAAAAUUGCACGGAUGAAAAAAAGAAAAGAACAAAUCAAUCUACAUCCUAUCCAAUUAGAAGUGCCAAGUGGAGACUCUUCCAUAUCAAAAAGAACGAAUAAUGCAAUCAACUAAUACCUAAACUUACCUGUAAGAGCCCACCGGGUACAAAUCUCGCGACCAAAGUGAUGAAGGGUAAUUUCCAUAUCCAAGAUAUUCUGCAUUUUCGCCUUUUCCAUCCCAUCACAAAAUAACCAUUUAUUGCUUCAGGAUCGCACCAUCCUUGGUAUCUGCAUCACUGUUGUGCUUCAAACCAAUAUAUAGAUUUUUCACUAAACUUCAUAGAUUGAAUCGACUAUCGUUCUUUCUGUUCCCUUUCUCCAAUUUUGUAAUGUCAUAUGCCCUAACUCGCAAAUAGCUGCAGCUAAGGGUUCACAUUGCAACCGCUCAUGAACUGCUCCUCCCGGGUAAGAUAUUUCUUCCAAUACUUCUUGUAUUUCGGUAUACCAAGUUCGAGCCAAGGCUUCAUGUUGCCGUUAUAAUGAAGAGCAGCAGCAUUCUUUAGUGCGCCGUGAGUAACUCCGUAGUUGUGACCGAGACCUGACUGAACUAAGCUAUUUUGUAGAGGAUAAAUUAGAUCUUGAAAUGCAAGAAAGGUUGUGGGAAGUGUAGCAGCUCUCCACGAUGCUUCGCUACCAUUGUGAAACUGUCAAGAGAAAAGCAUGUAGAACGUUAGUAAGUAAAGCAACAGACAGAUAGCUCUAUACUGAUCAUUGAUUUUCCACUAAUUAAUAAAAAUUCUUAUGAGUUAAUUACUGAUUCAGUCCUCGAAACUCAGCACUGAUUUCAAUUAUAUCCUCCGAGUAUCAAUUCUGUAAUUAAGUUGAGAUAGUUGACCCUGCUAUUGAACUGUAAAGAUUAGCUUGGUGUGGCAUCUUUACUAACGGAAUGGUUUGAUUGUUACACUAAACAAAAUUCAGGGACUAAAUUUCAAAAUCAAAACUCCCAAGGACUUUAUUGAGAUUGAAAUUAAAUUGAAAGAACUAAAGUUGCGGUAACUCGUAUCUAUUCUAUCGAACUCAAUGGGCAAACAGCAAGAUCAAAACGAUAAAAAAUUCACCUCUGAAACAGUGGUGAAAAUCCAACAAUUAGUCGAUAUAUUGUACCAUUUGAAACAUCUUAUUAUCUUAAAAUCAAUAAUUCUACAAAACACAAGCCUACAUACUAUCAAUGAAUAGUGCUACUAACCUUCCGGUGGAGCCCAUGGUAAACUUCAGUAACCUUGCGGUCCCUCCACUUCUCCAAAUCAACAACAUUCAAUCCAGACAUCCAGGCACAAGAAUUAGCAUCAUGUUUUAAUCCACCCAAGUAAGCUCCGAGUUGGCGUAAUCUGACUCGACAAUAUUGAACUGCACCAAUCACUUUUCCUUGCAAAUCAAGGUUCCACAAGAAUGACAAGUCUUUCUUGACCAACACAUCAUCAUCCAAAACAACCACUUUAUUCAGAUUCGAGAAUAUGUCAGCCAGAAGAAAGUGUGAGUGACCAAAAACCGAGAUGUAUUCAGUUCUCAUCAGCAUAGGCGAUUGGCGAGCAGUAUUACGAAUUGAAACACGAAAUUCCUCAGAUGGAGAUAGUUGUUGGAUGCCUAGAUUGUUCAAAUGUUCAGUUUUUAGAUCGUCAAAAUUAAGAACAUGAACCGUAGCUUCUUUGUAACGGUUUCUCACAAACCAAUGCUUGCAUGCAUAAAAAUUCUGCCUAUCGGUGACCAAAUGGAAGAUAAGAUUUUCAGAUUCCUGAAAUACUACAAAAGAAUGUGGUAAGUGACAGAAAGGAGAUGUACAGUGCUUCACUCUAGAUAAAUAUACGAGAGUCCCAUACCUCAGAAUUCAUCACAGUGGAAUUAAUAGUGACAGAAGCUGCAAGCACGUUAAGAGAAAAGAUAACAUAGUGGUGGAAGUUGGGGUUUUCAAGCUUGUCAGCAUCUGGCAGCUCCAUAUCCACAGAUGAAGACUUGAAAUAUUCUACAGUCAGUCUCAUUGACAAGCAGUGCAGACUUUUGUGCAUGGUUUGAACACCGAGGUGAUAGAGAAAUGCACUCUGCUUCAUAUGGAAAUGUGCUUCAUCUUCUGUGAGAUCAACUAACUGUCUGAGUUUCUUGUCAAUAUUAUGGCAGUCUACAGCGCAUGAUUUGGCUUUUGCAAUAAUCUCAUCCAUUCUCUGUAUCUUUUUGUCGACACUGAAAAGGAUUACCACUCUCUUCAGAACCAUAUUUCUAAACACAUCAAGUUAAAGUAAUGGUUUUGAAAGUCAAAUCAAAUUAAACGAACAAGUAAUGUUCAUUAUAAUAUGCAACCGCGGAAGGCUAAAAGCUCCAACAUUCAUUUGGAAAAUACUAUCUAACUGAGCAUCAUUUUUUUCUAACUUAAACAACCAAUAGUAACUGGGAGCCAAUGGAAAUUGCGAGCAAAUAGCGAUUUUUACAUCACUAUUGGCUUGCAAUUACAACUUUGCCAACCAGUAAUAAAGUCAGAAAGAAAGCUGAAGAGUUGGAAGAUAGCCGAUAUUUCUUACACUGGCAGAAGAUCAGCAUCUGAAAUGGCUUCACUAAGCAUCCGCUCAUGUUCUUGAAUGUGCUGCUUCAGCUCAUAUGUUAGUUUCUCCUGCCCCUGAAGUUUUGCAAUGCUCGGAUAAUAAGCUCUGGCGACAAACAGUUGAUCUUUAAGUCUCUUCACUGUGGAAUCUUUCAUUACUUCCUUGUGUUCUAGGGACCAAAGGCAGUAGCUUCCAAAUAAAAGCUGACAAGAUUUUCCACUCUCGUCACCAGCUGAACCUUCUGUAACAUUCUCCUUCCAAUCAAUGCCAUCACUCUGUGGUAAUCAAAAUAAAUAAAUAAAUAAAUGUUUUUAAAAAAGAAGUUGAAAAUUUGUAAAUCAACAAGAUUUGACUAAUUAAUCGGCCAAAGUAAGGUAAUUUGUUCAAAAGAGUUGCAGUGUUAAAGUUGAUCUCAAGGAUGGAAAGCAUUUGCAAGCUGAUAAAAUAGUCAUACUUUUGUAUUCAGAGACGAUGCUUCUCUCGACACAACUUGCUGUGUGUCCCUAUCUGCAUAGUGUAAACAAAAGGCAAGAAAACUUAUCUCAAAGAACAAGAAAAUAAAGACUAGUAAAAUUUCCUAUUUCUUCGUAAUAUAUAGUGAACUCCGAACAUUUAAAUUUUGAAUCCAUACUUUUAUAAUGUGCGGUAUUAUUCUUAUAGACAGCACCCUUUGGAGGUACACUAGCUUGGACAUUGUCACUAGUGAAUCUACCAUUCUUCUCAUAUUCAUUGCCAUCAGACUGACUUGCUAUGUUGGUGGUCAGAUCCUGCAACACAGGCACAUAAAGAUAUUUCAAACAACUGGAUAAGCCAAGUCAACAAAGAUAUUAUGAUUCACACCAAUUUGAUCUGCUUCACCCCUAAGUUGGAAUCUAAAUUAUUGGAUACUGAUUAAAAUGAAGCAGUAAAAAUAAAUGAUCCGAAAUGAGGGCAUUUGAGACAAUAUAGAGUAUAUAUUUUUUUACCAGAAUCAGAUGACAAAGAUACUGUAGUGCAGGCAGCCAAUAUUCAUUUAUGCAAGCCAUAGACUAAAACUUCUAUGCUCCUCAAUCCCGAAUAGAAGACAGUGGCAGUGCACAUAUUGUGCAAGAGAGCAAUAUAUAUCUAUUAAACAUAUUCAAGUUACAAAAGCUUGACUUGUUAGGAACUUGGUUGAGCACCUUGAGGAUUCCACUAGAAAUUGCUCACUACUCACCAGUCACUGAAUCUUGAGAUUGGGUCUACGACAGUUAUAAAAGAGAAGAUGAAGGGAGAAACUUGCCCAGAUGAAAAGAUUUUCCCCUUUGUCCCAUGUGUUACCCCUCUCUAAGAAUCUGCAGAACUGCAAGACCGCUUUCUUAAAGGUAUUGAACGUAUGUUUCUUUUGAGCCUCCGAACACAGAUGGAGUAGCCAUUCAAGAUAUGAGAUAACUUGAUAAAAGUUUAUAGGAUAAACAAACGUCGUAGACCCAUAAUUUGAUUAUAGCUUUGGUCUUUUCGGAACUGAAAAGAAUAUUCUAGGUUAUUCAUGUUUUGGAGGUCCUUAGGAUGGAUUCAAUUACCAAGUGAUUAAACCAUUGAACUUACAAAACCAAAGACUCAAUGAAGUAAUUUCUCGCUCUUUCGACAAAAAUUCUAUAUUCAAGCAAGUGGAGAGCGGACCUUCGCAAAAGUUGGUGCCAGUUUCUUCACGAGAUCAUCAAUUCUCGACCCAUCACCCUGCAAAGCACAAAAGAUCACUAACAAAUAUAAAACAAAAAUCUCAACAUCUCAACCAACUCAAUUUCCAAUCAACCAGGAAAGUGAUAAGCCAACCCCACUGUCUGGUCCAGUAAAUCAUAAAAAAUUGAAAGAUACAACAACAGUGAAAUGAUAACGACCUGUGAAGAACUAUGCUUUCUACCACCAUCAAGAUGCUCGUAAACCCCAAAGCUAAAUUCCUACACAACCAUCAAAACCAAGUGAUAAGAAAACAAUACCAGUAAACCUAUUCCUACGACAUUAUAGUAGCACGAUUUGAUAAUUCUCACCGAUGCAGAGUGAUCAUCAGUUAAGUACCCUGCACACCAAAAACACACAGGAAUCAGCGAUUUCUCCAUCAAAGACACCACGAACCCGUCUUUUUCGAUUAAAAAAACAUAGGAAUAGCACGGAUCUCGCAUCCGAGGGAGAGAUCCGGAGCCGGAUCUCGCCGGAACCCUAGUUCCGGAGCAAAAUACCAUCCACAGCCGAGAUCGCGGCCGCGGAAGCGCGAUCAGGAAGCGAGAUCGGGGGCAAGCGCUAGGGUUUUCGGGCGGGGGAGCACGCACCGGAGGGGAAGCGGUUGUGGUGGAGGCCGAGGAGAACGGCGAGGGGGACGAGGAGGGAGCAGAAGACGAGGGCGAGCACCGCCACCGCGAGGCACCUCCACCUCCGCUUCCCCGGCGGCGCCGCCGCCGCGGCCGCGUAGCCCUUCAUCGCCCCCUCUUCCUCCUCUCCGUCUUCUUCCUCCGAUCUGCCACCGUAGCCUCCUCCUCCUCCUCCUCCUCCUCUACGUAGACGCCCCAAAACCCUAAUUAGAUGUGUUGAUCGGAGGAGAUCGCGUCGCCUCUCUCCACCAUUGAUGCUCUCUCUCUCUUACUCACUCUCACUCUCACUAUCACUCUCAAAUGUGAUCUCUCUCUCUCUCUCUCUCUCUCGCGUUUUCUUUUUAUUUUGAUUGAGAAAUAAAAUAGAAGCGUCAGAGACAAUGGUUAUCGAUUCUUUCUUUUAUUUUAUUUUUUAUUUUUUAUUUGUAAUUUUUGUUUUUAUUUUGUUUUUUUCGUACUUAGUGCUACAAAUGUGUGAAAUUGCAUCACCAAUAGCGUUACUUUCACUGUCGCAUUUUUGCACGUGUACCCCUCAAACUUUUGUAAUUUACAUCUGUGAUUCUUCUUACUCUUCUUCGGGAUAUUAUUUAUGCCGCAAGUGUCAUACAGAAAGGACAGAUAUUAAUAAAUGAUAAUGGGUGGAGUAUUGGUCUACGGUAAAUACGCAUUUAAGAUACACCUAAUCUCAGCUUAAAAUUCACUUUAUUCAAAUUAGUAUAUCAAUAUAUUUGAACUAUUUUGAUAAUUUUAACUGAUUAAUAUAUACUGUAAAAGAAUAUAAGAAAAAAAUUUGAUCCAACAAGAAACGAGAUUGGUAAAAAAAACCCCGUUGAUUUCAUGCAUCAAGCGUGAGAAUCAAUCGCCUCCAUUUCAAUCAUGCUCCACUGCUCUUCUAUUAGUAUACAUACUCCGGAUAUCUCAUUUAUUCCCUUUUUUUUCUUUUCAAUCAUGUAAUUCUAAAAUAUCUCUACAGCUAAACAUGAGUUAAAUAUCUAUCAAAGUUAAAAAAAAUCAAAAUACUUUGUUUAUCAUUAACUUUAAAAAAAAUAAAAAAUAUUCGUGAUGGUAGAAAGGGAUAUAUUUGAAAAGAUAACAAUCAAGAUACUUUUUGUGUUUCUAACUUAAACUUCGUUUUGGGAUUGCGUGGAGAUUGCGUUACUUGCAGUGAGAAAGUACGUUGAAAAAAUACCUAUAUGUAAUAUUGCGUUCCGCAUAUCACGAUGAGUCGAUUAUGAUAUAUUUUCUACGGUCCCACCGAAGAGCGCAGAAGUAUAUCCCUAUAUACUUUUUCCUCAACUUCAUUCUAUCUAAUAGCGUUAGAUAAGCCUCAAUACCAAACUAAGGCUUCGUUUGGGAUUGUGGGAGAAUUGCGUUACGUGCGGUGAGAAAGUACGUUGGAAAAAUACCUUAUUUGUUUUCGUACGUAAUAUUGCUUUCCGCAUUAGUCGGUUACGAUAUAUUUUCUGCACUCCCACCGGAAAACGCAGAAACAUAUCGUUAUAUGCUUUUUUCCUCAACUCUAUUUUAUCUAAUAGCGUUAGAUAGCUCUCAAUACCAAACUAAGCCUAAAGCCUUAAAGGGUAAAUAAGAAAAGUCGGUAACAAUAGAAGGGAAUAUUUGAAAGGGCAAAAUAAUAAUUUUAUAAAGAUAACUGCUAUUGCUAAUAAUUCAUUACCAGAAUUAAACUCUAGAAAUAUAUUUGAAAUAUGUUGGAAUGUAAAAAAAAAAUAUUUUUAAUAUUAAUCUUCUAAUAGAGGUAAAUUUAAAAAUCAAAAAUAUUUUAGAAAUAUAUAAAUAAUUGCCCCUAAAUUAAUUUAUAACUAAAUAAAACUAGACUAAUUAUUAAUUAAUAAUAAUUAAUUGCCAAUAUAACUGGUAAAAACAUAAUAAAAAUAUUUUACCGAAAAAAUAAAAAGUUGAAUUUGAGGGGGGCCCUUUUCAGAAGCGUCUACAGCCGAGGGGGUCUCCACGCAAUUCGGAAUCGUCGGCGANGGGGGGGGGCCGAGGGAUCCAGAGCCAAACCCAUUUUACGAGGGCGGUGGCACUGACACUGACGCGCGGGGCCCACACCUGACGUGGGUCCACGUGUCACACGCUCGACCGCGGAAUGUACGAGCGCAACGUUACAACCCCCACCGCGCGAAUAAUUUCCCAUUGCAGCAGGUCAUGGGGCCCCACACCCAGUCGGUGAGCGCGACUGGUGCUGUACUUCCCUCGUGCGUCGUGUAUUCUGUGUGUAUGCUUGGCAACGCUUCGGCCCAAUUUUUCUCAGCUCUGGUUGGUGGUUUCACCAUUCUGAGCUCGGCACCGGAAAGGUGCGUUACACCACCACCAAAAAAAAAAUAAAAAAAAAUACUGUUGAUAGUAUCAAGGCCAAUUUGUAUAAAAAAUUUAUUUAUUUUGAACUUUUGUAAAAUCGGGUCAUCUUUUUUAUUUUUGCAGAUUCGGGCCGCCGGAAAAAAAAAAAGGUGCUCCAGCAGGAGGAAAAAGAAGAAGAAAAAGAAAAAGAGAAGAAAAAAUUGCUCCGCCUGGCAUCGCUUUUUUUUUCCGGCGGAAAAAAAAAAAGAACGAGAGAACGAAGAGGAGAGAGAAAGAGGAAAGAGAAAAAGUAAUAAGGAUAUUUUGGUUUUGCUGAAAAAGCGGACCAAAUCUGCAAAAACGAAAAAGGUGGCCCGAUUUUGCAAAAGCCUAAAAUAAGCUGAUUUUUUAUGCAAAUUAAAUUUUUGAAAAAAAAUUCAAAAAUCCCUGGUGUGGUUUUAUUUUUUCUUACUUGUAUCCUGUGAUUUAAAAUAUAUCAAGUUAGUCUAUGUGAUUUUUCACUUUUUCACUUUAGUACCCUGUGGUUUCGCACUUUAUCACUUUAAUACCAUGUGGUUUAAAAACCGCAGGGUACUAAUUUGAUACAAAAAAUAAAACCACAUGAUACUAACUUGAUACAAAAAUAAAACCACAGAGUACUAACUUGAUACACUUUAAACCACAGGGUACUAAAGUGAUAAGUGCGAAACCACAAAGGGGGUAUUUGAAGUUUUUUCUAAAAUUUAUGUGAAAAGUGUCAAGUCAUAAUAUUGAAAUGGGAAAACUUCAAAAACCCCACAUGUGGUUUCGUAGUUUCUCAGUUUGCCCCCCUUGGUUUAAAACGUAUCAAAUUGCCCCCAUGUGGUUCGUUUUUAUCUUUUCGGUAGCUUUUUCGUUAAUAUUUUAUUAAAUUAUAUACAAAAAACUUCAGAUACCUAUCUAAAUUUAUCAAAUAUUUACUUUAGUACCCUUUAAUUUUAACUUUAUCACUGAUUUAAGAAAAAAUAAUAAUAAAAUUGAUAAGAAAAAGAGAAAAAAGAAACCACAUAGGUGUAAAUUGAUACAUUUUAAAGCACAGGGAGACCAAGUGAGAAACUACGAGACCAUAAGGGGAGUUUUUGAAGUUUUCCCUAUUGAAAUUUUAGAAACUAUUAUAUAAAACAUCUCUAUACUUUUUU
Molecule: long non-coding RNA, 44941 nt
Filed under: Ananas comosus (pineapple)
Lineage: Eukaryota; Viridiplantae; Streptophyta; Magnoliopsida; Poales; Bromeliaceae
Description: long non-coding RNA (ACOM_LNC032271)
Source: RNAcentral